AUCCAUCCAUCUCCGCCCUGCCGCUCACGGCCGUGCAUCCAUCGGUGGCCACCAAAACAGGUUGCCCCGCUCGGUCGGUGACUUGAUCAGCCGUGACCCCGCCCCUAGGACAAGACAAUGGGUGCUCCAUGCCCACACUUCUCUCCUACUUGUACGUGAAUGAAUGAUUUUCAGGUAACUAUAACUGGUGCUACAUUUUGUGAUGGCAAGACAUAGGCCAAUUAAAGAGGCCCUGGCCUGAAUCCACAUGCCCUUGCUCAGAAACAAUCACCGCCCCCCCUGCACUGCACUGCGCCCGACGUCAGGCGUCCUACCGCGCUGUCGCAGAGGUGGCUCCAACACGUAGGAGGACAUGUGGCCUUUCCUUGUCCUACCGUCGCGUUCGCUACGGUCAGCUUCGUGUACACCUCUCGCCUAAUCUUCAUUGCUUUCUGCGCUCGUCCCAUUCUUUUAUUGCACUGCUGCAGAAUCCAUUUGCAAGAAUCUAAUCUACGCUCAGAUUGUCUUGGCGCCGGUCCACCUUCUCUUCUUUAUACAACCGCAUUCCGCAGGUGCCUGAAUGAUUUAUACGCACGCAAGCGUGUCCUGCUGACAAGUCACAACUCACAACAGCAGCAUUGAUAAUCUGAUUGAUACAGGUUCCUGUACAUUAGUAGUACUCCAUUCGUUCUUAAAUAUAAGAAAGAUUACAUACGGAUAUGUAUAGUCAUAUUUUGUUUCAUACGUAUGUAGUUUUUUUAGUGAAAUCUCUAUAAAAAUUUAUAUUUAGAAAUGGAAGAAGUGUUACUUCGUUGCAGUCCAUCUAAGGCCUUGUUCGGUUCUUUUAAAUUUGAAGGGGUUUAGAGGGGAUUGAGAGGGAUUAAAUCCCCUAUAAGUUAAAUUCCACCUAAAUCUCAUUCAAUCCUCUCCAAUUCCCUUCUGGAAGGGAUUAACCGAACAAGGCCUAAUAUGACGUAUACAGGCAACGGGGAGGUACACCCCCACAAGGCACAGCUGCUCUCCGUACAUGAAGUUACUAUAGUAUGCAGUAACAAACACUCGACUGGUCACUCAUCAGGCUAAGCCUCACAUGAUGCACUUUUAUCGCAAGCGCCAACCUGCUGGUUUGACGAUGAAUCGGCAUUUAGCAGCAACUGCUCGGUGAAAGACAAGCACAAUAGCUACUACUGGCAGGGUCUCGUGUCCACUGCUUAAUUCUCAAGGCGCCAACAUAUUAAUACAGACAUUCAGAUAAAUACACACCUUACAACUUGCUAGUAAAACAACGAACAAGCUGAACGCUGGAUGCAGAAUACUACAAGUAGUUGCAAACGAAGCAGCAAGUACGUAGUUUUGCAAGCUGUCCGGUCCAGACCUGUCGGCCUGACAGUCCUGGUAUACAAAAUUACAAAUGAGGAAGCUCCUGCAUUUUUUCUAUAAAAUAGCUUUUUAUUAUCUCACGAUGUAGUACCAAGUGAAUACAAAUCAUAGUGAACAAUACCUUUGGAUACAGAAUCAAACACCAACAGUCUGAGAAAAUAAAAAACAAAAAUUGACGUAUCAACAAUAGUAAAGUCAUAUAGAACCGACAUAGUGCGUAUGUCAAAGGAAGCAGUGGACCGACCUAGAGAUUAUGUUACUAUGAGGUGUUUGGUUCAUUACUUUGUAAUGUAAUCGGUUUACACCGGUAAGAGAUAACGUUAGAUUUUGUUUGUUUUGACCGAGUGUAAUCAAAUAACGGAGGAAUCAGAUCCCAGCUUAGUUGUAAUUCGAUUCCGUCCAAACUCAUGGGUAAACCGUUACCGCAGAAAAAAGGAAAAUCCUAUCUCUUUGCAUGGGUCUUCUUUCACGAUGUGGUUUUCUUGAUAGCCUCCGGCAAGCCAACCGCCGCGGCCGGGCUCGCUCCAUGUCCUGCAUGGAGCCCCGUGACACAGACGCCCUCUCGUCCCUCCACUCAGCUCCUCCAUGAACCCUCCUGGGUAGCCACACACUACAGCUGCUUCGGCGGCGCGACGGCGGAGGCCUUGUUAGAGCAUAUAUCUCCAUAUGUGGUUUUGGUAAUUGAUGACAAUNNNNNNNNNNUCUUGUAGUCCUCAGAUGAAGAUUCUGAUUUCCUCAUGUCUCUUCUUGAAGAUUUACCAAACUGGCCACGUCGUGUAAAUCUCUGGAAUUUCCUCACGAGCAUUGCAAGCUCCUAUCCAAAUUCUUUAGGGUCACCAAUGUUGUCAUGUGUGUCUUCUUCUUCAGAUGAGGAAAUUGCUCUAGCCUUCAGUGCACGUGGUCUGGAAUAGCUUGGUCCAUAUAGAUCUUUCUUUUCUUCUAGCUGGAAUUCAUGAGUAUUUAGCCUUUCGAGUAUAUAAGCUGGAUCAAGCAUCUUGUAGUCUGGUCUUUCUUGAAUCAUCAAAACUAAAGUAUCAAAUGAAGAAUCCAAAGAUCUCAGCAGUUUCUUCACAACUUCGUGAUCAGUGAUGUCUCGAGCUCCCAGUGCUUGCAGUUCAUUUGAUAUGUCAGUGAGGCGAUCAAAGGUGUCUUGGCAGCUUUCAUUGUCAUGUCUCUUGAAGCGAUUGAAGAGAUUGCGAAGAAUAUCAACACGAGAGUCACGCUGGGUUGAUACUCCUUCAUUUACCUUGCACAGUCUCUCCCAGACCAGUGUCGCAGAGCCCAAAGCACUUACUCUUCCAAACUGGCCUGGUCUCAGAUGGCCACAGAUGAUGUUCUUCGCUUGAGAAUCGAGUUGCUUGAAUUUCUUCACAUCAGCAGCAGAGACACUAGCAGGGAUGAUGGGGACGCCAUGUUCAACAAUAUAUCAGAGAUCAUUAUCAAUAGCUUGCAGAUGCAUUUGCAUUUUGUUCUUCCAGAAGGGAAAGUUCUUUCCUUCAAAGGUAGGACAUGCUGCAGUCACCUUAAACAUGCCUGCAGUCGACAUAACUAAAACUCCAGGUGGUUAAACCAAAAUCACAUAGAACAAGGGAGUACCUUGCUCUGAUACCAAUUGAAAGUGUGUUAUAUCGACUAUAGGGGGGUGAAUAGGAGAUUUUUAGAAUUUCAUCACCGAGGAAAUUCCUUUUGAGGAAAUUCCUCACUGAUGACUAACUUACAGCGGGAACAGUAAAGGAUCAGAAGUGCGAAGUUUCACAACAGCAGUUUUUCGGNNNNNNNNNNNNNNNNNNNNNNNNNNNNNNNNNNNNNNNNNNNNNNNNNNNNNNNNNNNNNNNNNNNNNNNNNNNNNNNNNNNNNNNNNNNNNNNNNNNNNNNNNNNNNNNNNNNNNNNNNNNNNNNNNNNNNNNNNNCUAACUGACGUGAAGAAUUUGGGGUUGAGGAAAUUCAGAGAAAGUCUUCAGCAAAUUCUUCAAGCAGUCGCAGUGAAAGUCAUCAACACAUAAUACGAGGAAAGUAAGGAGUUGAGGAAUUAGAACCCAUUUCUCAGUGAAGACAGUCGUUGAUGACCCAGUUCCAACUGCUAUGGCAGUCGUACAUCUAGUUUGGAGCGGCUUGGUAUUGAAACCAAAGGACACACAGUCCCGGUACACACAGUCCCGGGACACACGGUCCCUACCAUGUUCUCCUUGGGCUAAGAACACACAGUCCUCGCCCAACACUCAUGGUAAGUCUUCAGGGCAGACUUCCAAACCCUCACAAACUUGGUCACUCGGCGAUCCACAAUUGACUGCUGGAAAGCUCUAGACCAUGACGCCUAACCGUCUGGAGGAUGCACAGUCCUCAAAGGUAACAGGCUUCAGUCCCACACAGGAACAACUUCUUCAGUGAUGCUCAAUCACUAGGUUUGGUUUGUGGUUUCGGUGUAUGGUGUAUUUCCUCACUAAUGAAUUACUCUCGAAGACUCUGAGGAAUUGGGUUGCUCUUAUGACAAGUGUCAGUUUCUAACGGAGCAACCAACCAGCUAAUGGUUGUGGGGGGUGGCUAUUUAUAGCCUGGGAGCAUCCCGACAUGAUUUGACACUAAUGCCCUUAAAUAAUAUGACGGUUGGAGUGGAUAAGACCAAUGACUUGGCGUGGCUAUCGAAACGGUCGGAACCUUCAAGUGUGAGAGUCCUCAUGUCACUCGUAUUCCUCACUUGAGGCUUUUGUUAGGAUUAGGCUUGGGUUGAGCAUCAUGAGGAAAUUCAUUCCAAAGUGUAACUUCGACCCCCUUUAACAGUACGGUGUUCCUAUUACUCAAAUGUGAAGAAAAUAAAAUAGAAAGAGUAAAUCUUCAUGCUUCAAAUUCUUCAAAGUGAUUUUCUUCAGGACACACCGAAUUUCAGUAUCUUCAUGAGGAAUAUCAAUUUCAUCGCAGAUUCCUCGCAAUUCAUUUCUUCAGCUUCAGACCAAUUUCUUCAACCGAAGAUAUACAUUUUUAGGGGUCGAUAUUCUUCAAAUAUCUCAAACUCCUCAAUGACUUAUAGAUCAUGUGUACACUCAUAAACACAUUAGAUACUUAACCUAUAAGUCUUCAAACCACCAAAAUCACUAAGGGGCACUAGAUGCACUUACACUUGCACAGGACCACGUUGUCUAUUAUUGUUGAGAUGGAUAGUGCGAAGGUAGUGACGAUGCUCAAAGCAUCCAUGAUAUAUAGAUCGCAACACCAGUCACUUAUAGAAGAAAUCGGCAGCUUAGUCGUUCUAGAUGCUAGGAAGAUUUUAUAAACCGUUGGCAUAACAAUGUUAGUCAUGAGUUGGCUGCGUAUGAUCGCAACACCCCUCGUGUGGUAGUCUGGUUUAUUGGCGGACCAAAUUUUAUUGCAAACUCGGUUAUGGCUGAGGGCCUCCUUAUGAAACUAGUAGAAUGCACGUGCAUUGCUACGGGAUUCCAAAAUAUCUUGUUGAAGUUAUAUAAACAUAAUGUAUGUAAAUUUCACAUGUUGAGAAAAGGUAGCACAAGCAUAAUCGAAUAAUAAUUACAGUCCACUUCACUUACAACGUAAAUUGAUAAUAAAAAGGUAAUUUGACAAUAUAUACAUAUAUAGUGAUUAUUCAACUAAAAAUCGUUAAAUUUAAUAUAUACUUGAUGCCCUUAACAAAUUCUUGUACAAUAUCAAGAAUGUUGUCUUUACUUUCAUUUGCAUCAUAUUAGAGCAAGUAUAAUAAUAACUUCUUUCUCAACUCAUAUCCAUCAUGCACAAGCAAUAUAUGUAGUCUUGAAAUGUGUAAUAGAGAAUACACAUCGUGCAAAUCGGUCAAACCAAUUAUUUACCAUUCCACUAGAGCAUAAAAUAAAUAACAUAAUAGCCACACACAUCUGUGUAAUUUACUAAGUUAUUAUUAUCUUGAAAAUAGUAAUAAAAAAUGUUUGUAUUUAGAAUGUUAUGAUAAUGAAACAUAUAAAUUUACUCGUCUAUAUUCGCUGGAAUAACAAGUGGAAAUAAAUGUUGUCAUCUAGAUAUCUCACAAUUCCACCCAGAUUGCUUUAUUUCGAGUGCAUCGUUGAAUUCCCUCACAAAUCUUGUGUGCGCAACCUCGGCCAGGGCUUCUCCUUCUUCGACAAUGUGAUCACGGUUGCCGUUGGAGACGCCCUAACUGCACUAACCAAGAAUCUUAGGCGCCUAUAUGCUCUCUUUUGUAGCAAACUAGUGAUCCGGGACCUAGAGAGGCGGGUUUGCACCUAACCAGAUAAAGGAUUUGUCGGGUUUAGUUUUGCGAUAACAUAGACCUGAAAAUAAUCCCUUUGUUCUUGCAUGUCCAAGAUAUUUAUGAAGAAAUACUAUGAGUUUCAUAUGACAAGUCAUCUGAUCAAAGAACAAUGCCACAAAGAGUGUUAAUUCAGUAAAUAUAACUUACCAUGAUAGCAUAAUCCAAGCAUUCUUGCUCCUACUUCUUGUACCCUUAUGUAUAGAUUUGGUCAUAUCCUUAGCUUUUUAUGUGAUAAUAAGAGGGAGAGCAAAAACGGAUCAUUCUAGGUAACAAAAGCCUUUUUUUACAAAUUGUGACAUGGGUCAUGAAUGUUUAGAGAAAAUCUACAAGGCAAGAUGAAGCGGCCACUCCUUCCGACUAAUUCACCAUCAGUUAAAAUUACAGAGAUGAAAUACAUUUUCAAUCAAUGGGGUAAAUCAUACACUAUGUAACAACUCAUUAACUAAAUCAUUCAGUAGUUACAAUGGUACACGCAUGACUGAAAAUUUCAUGACAAGUAGAUUAUUCCGCGUGGAUUCUCACAAAAAAGGAAAAUAAAUUAUUGUAGAUCCUGCGCAACAAGCUCAUAAAUUUCAAACUUUUAGCUCAUUAUAAAAGUCCUUGAGCUUCCCGCUGGUUGUCAACUUCACCGGAAUCGAAUGGAGAUGAGGGACAAAAGGGGAAACUCAUCUGUCGAGUACUAAAAUCAAUGAGUCCCUAUUUACGAGCGCAUGGCCGCAAGCACAUGAAAAACACCUACAACAUGUGCAUCAAGACGACCUCCCCGGUAGCAGCCUCAAAGAGACACCUCGCAACAGCGUUGACGAUGUCCCACAACGCAAAUCCUACGAGGGUUGAGUGCCAUGAACUCAAGGAUUACGGUGGUGGAGUUUAAUGUAACAACGACCUCCCUCUUAAGACAUAAUGGAGUCGAGGAAGGACGACAUCAUGGAGGGCGGGGAGAGGGUGAGAAGAACACAAGGCGGCGGAGAAGGCGAUGUGGCGAAGGGAGUGAAGGACUGAAGAAACGAACGGGCGGUCUGCAUCAUCAUAUCACGCAAUAAAUCAAAUCACGAUAUGAUUUUCUAGGAAAAACUUGACUUCCAUGAAACGGGGCAGAUGGACGGAAAAGGCAAAGGUGGCAUCCAAUCAAAUCAGAUCAGAACUUUCCUUCCGUGAACCAGGCGAUAUGGGGAAAACUCGAAGGAGGGAUUGACGAUAAGAACGAAUGACGCACCAUGACCUAUCAUUGAAAUCACAAUUGCUCCCUAGGGUGGUUUUGAUAAUUGAUCACAACAUAUGCAUCAGUGGACUAAUAUGUUUAUCCAAGUAUAUUUCGGAAAAGUUCAAAAGAUGCUUUGGAUAAAGGCUUAUGUGGGUAUGCCCCUUGAUGCAAGAAAUAAAUAGGAUUGGCCCAAGCUUCAAUCUAGAAGACUCUUCAUUUUAUAUUUGUGAGAAAUCACUUUUGAGUCCAGAUGAAAGCCAAUACUAUUAAAAGGGGGUGAGCUAUUAAAAUGAACUGGCUGCUCAAGUGCUCAAAGUUAGCCACCAAAAUACUCGGUCAUUUUUUCCACGUAACCAUUGUGUCCAAUUCCACAUACUCAAAUUCGGUGCCACCAACUUUCCCAUUUCGGCCCCACCGAGUUUGACUUCAUACAAAACCCUAGCCAUUCCCACCAAAUCGGUGCAACCAAAACCAUAUCGGUGCUAUCGAGUUCAGGGUGACCAACUUUCUGUUGCCUCGGUACACCAAUUGGAAUUUCCGAGUUUGCAUAUCGGUGUCACCCAGUUGUGUCAUCUGACUGUUAGCCACCUUUUUGGUUCCACCGAGUUGUGUGUAUCGGUCCCACUGAGAUUCAAAAGUUGCUGCCUUUAGUGCAAGUCGGUACCACCGAGUUUAUGACUUCGGUGUCACCGAGUUUGCCACUUUAGGUGUAACGGUUGGAUUUUAUGUGCUGCCUAUAUAUACCCCUUCACCCACCUCUCAUUCAUGGGAGAGGUACUCAGAACACACACUUCAUUUCCAGAUCCAUUUUUCUUAGAGAGAGACACCUACUCAUGUGUUGAGACCAAGAUAUUCCAAUCCAAUCAUUUGAAACUUGAUCUCUAGCCUCCCCAAGCUCCUUUCCACCAAAUCAAUCUCUCCUACCCAUGCCUAUUCUAUGAGAGAGUGAUUUUGUGUUGAGGAGACUAUCUUUGGAAGCAAAAGAGCAAGGAGUUCAUCAUUCUACCAAAUAUAUUACCUUUUGGAGGGUGGUGCCUCCUAGAUUGGUUAAGUGUCACUUGGGAGCCUCCCACUUCGUGUUGUGGAGUUGAACCAAGAUGUUUGUAAGGGCAAGGAAAUCGCCUACUUCGUGAAGAUCUACCGUGAGUAAGGCUAGUACUUCAUGGGCGGAAGCCAUGGUGGAAUAGACAAGGCCGCUUUUCGUGGACCCCUUGUGGGUGGAGCCCUCCAUGGACUCUCGUAGUCGUUACCCUCCGUGGGUUGAAGUAUCCACUAACAUGGAUGUACGAUAGAGCCACCUAUCAGAACCACGCCAAAAAAUUUCGUGUCAACCUGAUGCGUUUGAUCUCCCUACCUUACACCUUACUUUACACUUACAUGUUUUACAUUCCGCCGCUACACUUUUAGAACUGCAUGUGUAGGGUGUGCUUGACUUGCCAUAACUGCCAAAACUGCCCCUCACCUAAAUUUGGGAAAAUACUAAACUCUUAUCUUGUCAAGUAGUCUAAUCACCCCCCCUCUAGACAUACUUUCGAUCCUAUAGGUGGUAUCAGAGCUUUGGUCUCCAUUGCAUUGGUUUCACAACCUAUGAGAGUAUGACAUCUAGUGAGGGAAAUUAUCACCGUAGAGGUCCAUACUUCGAUGGCACUAAUUUUGCUAGUUGGAAGCAUAAGAUGAAAUGCAUAUUCCUGGUUUUAAUCCUCAUGUUUGGGUUGUUAUUCGUGUUAGUGUGCAAGGUAAUGUCUUCGGAGAAGGGCAUGAACUGGAUCGUGAUGCGACAUCCAAUGAACUGAAGAUGUUGCAACUCAAUGCACAAGCCUGCGACAUCAUCUUCAACUGUCUAUGCCCCGAAGAAUUCAACAAAAUCAGCUGCCUUGAGAAUGCAAAAGAAAUUUGGGAUAUUUUGAUCGAUAUGCACGAAGGUACUCAUUCUGUCAGAGAAUAUAAGUUGGAUGUGCUUCAAAGUCAGCUUGACAAGUUCAAGAUGAAGGAUGGUGAAUGUGUCGCUAAAAUGUACUCUAGGCUAGCUCUCAUCACCAAUGAGAUUGUCGGCUUAGGAAGCGAAGAGAUGACCGACAAAUUCAUCAUCAAGAAGAUACUUAGAGCUCUUGAUGGAGAGUAUGACACUGUGUGCACAUUGAUCAAAAUGAUGCCAAACUACAAAGAUCUCAAGCCAAUUGAAGUCAUUGGUAGGAUUGUUGCUCAUGAGAUGUCACUCAAGGACAAAGAUGAGCUGCACAACAAGUCAAGCGGUGCUUACAAAGCUUCAUGUGAUGCUCCCGCUACUUCAAAGGACAAUAUCGUCACUGAUGAACAGAUAAGCCUCAUGGUCAGAAAAUUCAACAAGUUCUACAAGAGUAGAGGCAAAGAGAGAAGCUCAAGCUCAAGACAUGAUGAGAAGCAUUCGUCCAGUCGUGACCGAAACUGCUACAACUAUGGGAAGCCCAGACACUACUCCAAUGAGUGCUCUGCUCCCUCCAAACAAAGAGAAGAUUCACCUCGAAGACGAAGCUCAAGGGAUGAGUCACCUCGCGGAGAGAGAAGGAGUAGAGAAGAUCGUUAUGAACGAAGACACUCACGGAGAGGCAAAGAAUCGGAGAAGAAGGACAAAUACACCAAGAUCAGCUCAAGAAGAAGACAUCAAGCUCAUGUUGGUGAAUGGGUUUCUCGCUCCGAGUCCGACAACCAAUCCGAGAGAAGAUACCACUCCAACUCCGACUAUAGUCAAGAUGAAGGUGUUGCCGACAUUGCACUUGUUUCCUCCAACUUCUAUGAACUAUUUGAAUCACCAAAUGAGGGGUCCGAAAACUGCUUCAUGGAUAAAGGCCCCAAGGUAUCACACUCUAAGUAUCUUAAUUUUAAUGGUGAGGAGGAUGACUUGUUAGGAGAAGAUGACUUGCUCUUUGAUAAAACUAGUGAUUACAAUGAAAAUGAACUUGCUAAUUAUCAUGCUAGUCAAGAGAAAUCGAGUGAUGAUGGUAAGAAAGAGAUUGAAUGACUAACUCAAGAAUUAAAUACUCUUAAAUUAGCUCAUGAAACUACUCUAGAAGAUCAUAAAGAGCUUGCAAGAACUCAUGAGAAGCUAUGCUUCGAGAAGCUCAAUUUGGAGCAAGAGCACGAGUUCCUAAAAGCAAUCAAUGAUGAUCUUCGAAAGAAGAGUUCUUCUUAUCUAGCCAAACGAUUACUCUUGUCUACUUUUGUUCCACAAGUUAAACCUAAGAGCACUAGUAACAAAGCUAAGAAUGUUUCUUCAUCUAGUAACAACAAUGCUAAAGCUAAAUCUAAUGUUGUUGAUGCUAGUAGCUCUCUUGAUUCCACUAAUGAUUCUCUUAGCCAAAGUUGCACUUGAGCAAGAAAACGAUUUAUUGAAAGGGAUUAUAGAGAGAGAUGUCUUCAAGAGUCUUGACGGAAGUAACAAUUUGAGGAAAUUAUGCGUAAGCAAGGAGGACAUCGUAAGAAACAAGGUGUUGGCUACUUCAACGUCAACGGAGAUGAUUGGGAAGAAGGACCAUAUCCCAUUCCUAAGUUUGUUCCUCGAGAGGAGAAGUAUGAUCCUACUCCUCCCAAAGGAACAAGCUCACAAGAUGACCUUCUACCACAAGACCACAAGGGUAAGGGAAAGCUUCAAGAUGACAUUGACUUAUUUGAAGAAGAACCCCAAGUCAAGGUCAAGUGGAUUCCCAAGAACACUACUAGCACUACCUCAUCUAGUGCUAUCACAACUCCAAGGAUUCCCAUCAAGUUGAUGUGGAUCCCCAAGAGUAAGAACUAGAAAGUUCUUGAGGGGUGACUCCGCCAAUGAAAUUCACUCUUAUUCAUUUUGGCAAGAACUAUAUGCAAUCAACCUCAACCAUAUGCAUUAGCUCAAGGAGUCACACAUUCCCUCAAAGGUAAGCAAGGAACAAGGUAAUUAAUGUAUCUUUUGAACAUAAUCUCAUAUGUACUUCACUCCAUGUCCAUAGGUGUUCUUGCAUAUGUUCCUUUUGCUUUGGUACUAACCCGUGUAGGUGAGAAGAGUAAGAAACAACAAGGAUUGCUCCCAACUCAAGAUGAUCUUCAUCAACAUUGAGCAUCUACCACUACUUCACAUACUUGAAUUAUUCUAUGACAAAACCCAAGGUAGUUUAUCCCUCUUAGGGAGCAUGUCAUAUCAAGGGGGAGAUCUACUCUAAAUCUUGAGUAUAAGCAUCUCCUAAGGAUAUGAACACAUUAAUGCUUUAUGUAAAAGUGGUAACCCCACUUGUGCUUAAUGAUGAGUAUGACCUAUGAUCAAGUAUUCUUACUUGGCUCCUAAGUCAAUAUACUCAUAUAUAGAUGACUUUUUCAUCGCCCAAGUGCUUGAUAGAUGCUAGGAUGUUUGUGCGUAUUCACCAUAUUUUAUCUAUCAUCUUAUUGUGUGAGCAUGUUGGUCUGCAUGUGUUUGAUCAUUCGAGGACAUCCAAUUGUUGUCAUUUGGCUCAUGAUUUAUCUUUUGCCAAUUGGAUGGACAAGAAUGCAUAGGACCCUCCUCCAGCUAUCUGUGCUAUCUCAUCUCUAGUUCUAUUCAUGCUUCAUCACAAAAUUUGAACAAGCACUUGUCGAUCCCUCUAUGUGAAGGAGCACUCGGAGUUUCGUAUCAUGAAAAGGCUGCCUUCCAAAAUCUCUUUGUAAAUCUCGAUGAAACCAACCCCACAAAUACGGUUCCACCGAAUUUCCAAAGUUAAUCUGGUUUUUUGAAUCUUGGUACCACCGAAAUCACCAACUCGGUUACACCGAGUUUCCAUGUCAGCUGACAGCAGAGGAACUUGGUGACACCGAUUUCGUAAUCUUGGUGACAUCGAUAGCGAAGGGGUAUAUAUUCUGGCGGACAGGAUUUUGAAAUCAUUUCCUCAAAAAACCCUUCGUCGCAAACCCUAAGCUUCCCCGAAGGACCCCUACUCGUCGCCUUUGCCUCCUAGAGCACCUCUGACGUUGGGAUUUGCCGUUGUCGACGGAAUAUUUGCCGUCGUCGCCGCCGUAGUCAGACCGCCACAGAGCUAGGGUACGGUUCCGAUCUCCUCUUGCGCUCCCUUAAUCCAACUCAUGUGCAUUAGGAAGUUUUCUCUGCAAGCCACCAUGUGCAAACCCCUCCUUCCACCAGAGAAUCUCGUAGCAUAGAGAACGAUGGAAUUUAGGAUCUGAUCUACCGCAGCAUGCAACUCGGUGAGACCGAGUUGGUAAAAUCGGUUCCACUAAUUUUAGUUCUAGGGUUCCUGAGAAGCAACUCGGUGAGAUCGAGCAGUUCUUUUUGGUGACGCCGAAAAAGACUGCCAAGUCUGUAUCAUUCGAGUAGUUUUUCUUGGUGACUCCAAAAUGAUCAACCCAAUGUUACCGAUUUACAUUCUGUAGAAGAUCAUACCCUAAGUUUCUGAAUUCAUUUUGAAAAAUCUUUCUAUGUUUUGUGAUGCUCAACCCUUCUGCUCUUCUAUAUCUAUUUCACAGGAUUGAUGUUUGUUGGUUUGCUGCUGGAGAAGAUGAGAUCCUAGCUCCUCCUAAGAAGAAGAAUCUCAUGGAUGAUGCCAUGCCCGAGAAAUCUGCUCCUAAGCCUCCUUAUAAGGCUAAAAGGUUGUAGCUCAUAGGAAGACUACAAAGGAUAUUCCUGCAGCUGCCAAGGGGAAAGGCCCUGCUUCCAGUGCCUUUGCUGCAGAGGAAGAAUAUGAGAAUGCACCGAUUCUCAUAAAGCUCCAACCAAAUCUGGCAGUGCACAAUGCUUCUCAUCUAGUAGCCGAAUAUAUGAAGAAGAGGAAAGAUUCAGGUUUGAGGAAAUGGAGAGUUGCACAUCCAUAUGCCAUAAGGAGAAGAACUAUUGUUGAUCCAAGGUUUCACACCGAGGAACAACAAGACUUUUAUGAGACUGUCUUAUAUGACAAAAGUCCAAUUGUUAGUGACAUGAGAUAUGUUGACUGAGCAUACAUCAAAGCCAAUGAAAAUUUCUUUCCACAUGUGCAAGACAAUUUCAAUUCGGUAGACAUUGAAGAUUUUGUUGGAAAAGAGAUGACCCCAUGGAAUGAUGAAUUAAUUAUGCAAUUUUACUCAACUGUUCAUUUCUCUGGAGAUGACUCUAAUGUCUCGAUGACAAAUGGUCACAAGUAUGAGUCAAAGAUUGAUGAGUGGGCCACUAUCAUUGGUGCCCCUAAGCAGAAAGAGAGUGAUGUUGAUGUGUAUUCUGAAUCGAAGAUGAGCCACUGUUAGAGUAUAUAUCUCCAUAUGUGGUUUUGGUAAUUGAUGACAAUUCCUAUGGACNNNNNNNNNNNNNNNNNNNNNNNNNNNNNNNNNNNNNNNNNNNNNNNNNNNNNNNNNNNNNNNNNNNNNNNNNNNNNNNNNNNNNNNNNNNNNNNNNNNNNNNNNNNNNNNNNNNNNNNNNNNNNNNNNNNNNNNNNNNNNNNNNNNNNNNNNNNNNNNNNNNNNNNNNNNNNGGUAUUCAAGGUAUUAUCCAAAGAAUGGUCAUAGAGACACUAGCUAGGUUGAUCAAGAUCUCAGACAAAGAGUAAAUGAAGAUGAUCAACAUACAAAGCGUAUAAGAUGUACCGAGAGGGAUCAAGUGAUCCCAUGGUAUGGUAAGCAUUGUCCAUUACGUGUUUGUGUACUAACCCAUGGUCUUUGUGAGAGUCCUAUGUGGGGGGUAGGUUUGCUUCCAUGGGCUUGCGUCAAAAGGAAGAUCUCAUACAACCNNNNNNNNNNNNNNNNNNNNNNNNNNNNNNNNNNNNNNNNNNNNNNNNNNNNNNNNNNNNNNNNNNNNNNNNNNNNNNNNNNNNNNNNNNNNNNNNNNNNNNNNNNNNNNNNNNNNNNNNNNNNNNNNNNNNNNNNNNNNNNNNNNNNNNNNNNNNNGCACGAAUAUAUCAUUGAAACUAUUGUUAAUGAUCGUGUGUUGAUAAGGACAAGCUCAUGUGCUAACAAGGAGAAGAUCAAGAUAAGCAUUCCUGAGCACUGCAUGCUUGAUUCUUGUGGAUGUUCACAUGGUGUACAAAUGAAGAUGAAUACAUAAGCUAGGCUUUCCACAUUGUGUAUGGGAGAGCUGCUUGAAGACUCCGUCAUGUCUUGCUUUCAACUUGAGCCAAGAAGGAACAACAACAUCAAGCNNNNNNNNNNNNNNNNNNNNNNNNNNNNNNNNNNNNNNNNNNNNNNNNNNNNNNNNNNNNNNNNNNNNNNNNNNNNNNNNNNNNNNNNNNNNNNNNNNNNUCGGAGGAGGUUAGUACUUAGGCGAUUCAGGAUCGCAGCUAAGUCUCCGAGUGCGACGUAUAGUGCACACUCGGAGGGAGUUAUUACUUAGGUGAUUCGUGAUCACAGCUAAGUCCCCGAAUGCGACGUAUAGUGCACACUCGGAGGAGGUUAGUACUUAGGCGAUUCAGGAUCGCAGCUAAGUCCCCGAGUGUGACGUAUAGUGCACACUCGGAGGAGUGCGUACUUAGAUGAUUCUUGAUCACAGCUAAGUCUCCGAGUGCGACGUAUAGUGCACACUCGGAGGAGGUUAGUACUUAGGCGAUGCAAGAUCGCAGCUAAGUCCCCGAGUGUGACGUAUAGUGCACACUCGGAGGAAGUGCGUACUUAGGUGAUUCUUGAUCACAGCUAAGUCCCCGAGUGCGACGUAUAGUGCACACAUGCGCGCGGCUCGUCUGUCUCCCUCUGAAUAUUGUAGAAUCUGUAUGCUCCGCUGUUCAGCACCUUGGAAAUGAUGAAAGGCCCCUCCCAGGCCGGAGCCAACUUGUGGGGUCUUUGCUGAUCCACUCGGAGCACUAAAUCGUCUGCUUGGAACGUGCGGCUCCUGACAUGACGUGCAUGAAAGCGUCGCAGAUCUUGUUGGUAAAUUGUUGAACGAGUGAGUGCCAUCUCGCGUUCCUCCUCCAGAAGAUCGACUCCAUCUUGCCUUGCUUGUUCCGCUUCGGCUUCGGAGAAGAGUUCGACUCGCGGGGCAUUGUGAAGCAGGUCACUCGGAAGGACCGCUUCUGCUCCAUAGACGAGGAAGAACGGCGAUCGCCCCGUUGAUCGGUUUGGAGUGGUGCGGAGGCCCCAAAGUACUGAAGGUAACUCGGUGACCCAUGCACCAGCAGCAUGUCCUACCUCUCGCAAGAGUCGAGGCUUCAAACCUUGAAGGAUAAGUCCAUUCGCGCGCUCAGCUUGUCCAUUGGAUUGCGGAUGUGCUACGGAAGCAAAAUCCACUCGGAUACCCUGACUCGCGCAGAAACCUUUGAAUCUAUCCGAGUCGAAGUUUGUCCCAUUGUCCGUGAUUAUGCUGUGAGGCACUCCGAAUCUGGAGAUGAUGUCCCUGACAAACUUAACGGCUGUGAAGGCGUCGAGCUUCUUGAUGGGCUUGGCUUCUAUCCAUUUUGUAAACUUGUCGACUGCCACCAACAGAUGUGUGUAGCCUCCUUGGCCUGUCUUGAAUGGCCCGACUGUGUCUAAUCCCCAAACUGCAAAUGGCCACACAAGUGGGAUUGGCUUUAGUGCAGAUGUUGGCUUGUGGGACUUGUUGGAGUAGAACUGACAGCCUUCACAUCGGUCGACCAUAGCUUUGGCCAUCUCGUUAGCCUGCAGCCAGAAGAAUCCAGCUCUGAAUGCCUUGGCGACGAUUGCUCUCGAAGAAGCGUGAUGGCCGCAGGUUCCCGAGUGGAUAUCCUCUAGGAUCAACUGUCCUUCCUCUGGGGAAAUGCAAUGUUGGAGGACGCCUGAAACACUCUCCUUGUACAAUUGACCGUCAAUGACAGUGAAUGCCUUCGACCUGCGAACUAUUUGUCGGGCUUGGACUUCAUCUUCUGGAAGUUCUUGUCUCAGGAUAUAUGCCAUGAUCGGCACAGUCCAAUCGGGAAUGACUACCAGAAUCUCCGUGACCAGAUCAACCACCGCAGGUACAUCGACUUCAGUCGGAUCUGUUGCGCUCUUGGGUUGUAUCGGUUCUUCAGUGAAGGGAUCUUCUUUAACUGAAGGAAGAUGGAGGUGCUCGAGGCAAACGUCACUCGGGACUGGUCUCCGAGUGGAUCCGAGUUUCGCCAACGCAUCAGCUGCUUGGUUCUUCAGUCUCGGAACAUGAUGGAGCUCUAGACCUUCAAACUUCUUCUCCAGCUUCCUUACUGCAUUGCAGUACACUGUCAUGGUGGGGUUCCUUACGUCCCACUCUUUCAUCACUUGAUUGACCACCAAAUCCGAAUCGCCGUAGACCAUCAAGCGACGGACGCCGAGUGAGAUGGCCAUGCUCAAUCCGUAGAGGAGAGCUUCAUACUCCGCCUCGUUGUUGGAGGAAUCAAAGUGUAUCUGGAGCACUUACUUGAGCUUGUCGCCUUUGGGUGAUAUGAUCACAACACCAGCGCCGGAUCCAUUCAACAUCUUAGACCCAUCGAAGAACAUUGUCCAAUGAGCCGAGUAGAUGUGAGUCGGUUGCUGUUGUUCUACCCAUUCUGCUAUAAAGUCAGCCAGGGCUUGAGACUUAAUAGCUUUCUUGGCCUCGAACUUGAUGUCACAAUACAGCAUCUCCAUUGCCCACUUCGCCACUCGGCCUGACGCGUCUCGAUUGUGGAGAAUUUCCGACAAAGGAGCAUCAGAAACGACAGAUACCGAGUGGUCUUGGAAAUAAUGGGCCACCUUCUUCGCAGUCAUAUAGAUCCCAUAGAUAAGCUUCUGAUAAUGGGGAUACCUCUGCUUGGAGGGGGUCAGGACUUCGGAGACGUAGUACACUGGCCGCUGAACUUUGUAUGCUUUGCCUUCUUCUUCUCGCUCGACUGUAAGAACAGUACUGACGACUUGAUUUGUAGCCGCGAUAUAUAGAAGAAGGGGCUCUUUACUGAGCGGAGCAGUAAGAACCGGCUGGGUGGAAAGUAGGACUUUGAGGUCGUCGAAUGCGACUUGGGCUUCGUCUGUCNNNNNNNNNNNNNNNNNNNNNNNNNNNNNNNNNNNNNNNNNNNNNNNNNNNNNNNNNNNNNNNNNNNNNNNNNNNNNNNNNNNNNNNNNNNNNNNNNNNNCCAGUUCCUAACUGACUCGGACAACUGGAGAGGGGGGUAGCUACUCUUUGUUUUCUUCUGGAAUCCUAAGCCCCCGCAGAGCUGGAGGAGAUGGGUUUUAUCGUCCGACUGGCUAAGCGUUUUGACAGUCUGGGACCUAGCGGAGAAGAUGUACUUAAAUAGACCCCAAUGGGGGGGACAUCCAAUAAAGCACUCGCAAAGGGUGACGAAUGCGGCAAGAUNNNNNNNNNNNNNNNNNNNNNNNNNNNNNNNNNNNNNNNNNNNNNNNNNNNNNNNNNNNNNNNNNNNNNNNNNNNNNNNNNNNNNNNNNNNNNNNNNNNNNNNNNNNNNNNNNNNNNNNNNNNNNNNNNNNNNNNNNNNNNNNNNNNNNNNNNNNNNNNNNNNNNNNNNNNNNAGGCAAGGAGAAGCCCCUGAACACGUGGCUGAGCAGCAAGACGUGCUCCCCCUCCUGCGGCACCGGCUCCAUCUCGCCCUCCGCCGACAGCCUCCACGACUUGUUGGCGAUCAUGCCGUGCUCCACUAGCUCCAGNNNNNNNNNNGAGGCAAGGAGAAGCCCCUGAACACGUGGCCGAGCAGCAGGACGCGCUCCCCCUCCUACGGCGCCGGCUCUGUCUCGCCCUCCGCCGGCAGCCUCCACGACUUGUUGGCGAUCAUGCCGUGCUCCACUAGCUCCAGCAAAUCAUCCGUCGUCACCAUGGAGGGGAGGAAAUCCCCCUGGAUCCACCCCGCCGGCAGUGCCCGCUGUCGCCGCUGAGCAGGGGCCGCCCCCUUCUUCUUCUUCUGCGACUCGAGUUUGCUAGUCUGCCCCUUCAUCAUGGUGAAUGCAACAGAUCCGGCGAGGAGGAGAGGAAGGAGGAGGCUUGGAGCGUGCAAGGAGCUACGGGAGGAGCAAGGUGAAUGCGAGUAACAAGGGCAGCGCAAUAAGAAACCCCCGCCGGAGAGACUUAAAUAAGCUUCCGACUGAGUCACUAACAGGUGGCCCCGAAAUCUUAUCCCCCGACCAGCUGCUGCGAUGUUAGUGGAGAAGAUAACGGCGUGGCAAUCGAGGCGGCAAAAACUACUCGAUGGCGAUGUCAUCAUCCCCGCUGAGCGCACGGCAACCGAAAUUUGAGGAUCCCGGAAAAUCCGCCGCUGUCAGUUGGACCGGUCACAUCGAAAGAUUCCNNNNNNNNNNNNNNNNNNNNNNNNNNNNNNNNNNNNNNNNNNNNNNNNNNNNNNNNNNNNNNNNNNNNNNNNNNNNNNNNNNNNNNNNNNNNNNNNNNNNCCCAGAGUCGCCUAAGUAAAAAACUCUCUCUCUUCGAGUGUGCACUAAAAGACGCACUCGGAGGCUUAGCUGUGACCCAGAAUCGCCUAAGUACAAACCCUCUCUCCGAGUGUGCACUAAAAGUCGCACUUGGGGACUUAGCUGCGAUCCAGAGUCGCCUAAGUAAAAAUCUCGCUCCGAGUGCGCACUAAAAUCCGCACUCGGGGACUUAGCUGCGACCCAGAAUCGCCUAAGUAAAAACUCUCUCCGAGUGCGCACCAAAAGNNNNNNNNNNNNNNNNNNNNNNNNNNNNNNNNNNNNNNNNNNNNNNNNNNNNNNNNUGCUCCGAGUGCGCACCAAAAUCCGCACUCGGGGACUUAGUUGUGACCCAGAAUCGCCUAAGUAAAAACUCGCUCCGAGUGCGCACCAAAAGCCGCACUCGGGGACUUAGCUGCGACCCAGAAUCGCCUAAGUACAAACCCGCUCCGAGUAUGCACCAAAAGCCGCACUCGGGGACUUAGCUGCGAUCCAGAAUCGCCUAAGUACAAACUUGCUCCGAGUGCGCACCAAAAGCCGCACUCGGGAACUUAGCUGCGACCCAGAAUCGCCUAAGUAAAAACUCUCUCUGAGUGCGCACCAAAAGCCGCACUCGGGGACUUAGCUGCGACCCAGAAUCGCCUAAGUACAAACCCACUCUGAGUGCGCACUUAAAGUCGCACUCGGGGACUUAGCUGCGACUCAGAAUCGCCUAAGCACAAACUCGCUCCGAGUGCGCACUAAAAGUUGCACUCGGGGACUUAGCUGCGACUCAGAAUUGCCUAAGUACAAACUCGCUCCGAGUGCGCACGAAAAGCCGCACUCGGUGACUUAGCUGCGAUCCAGAAUCGCCUAAGUACAAACUCGCUCCGAGUGCGCACGAAAAGCCGCACUCGGUGACUUAGCUGCGAUCCAGAAUCGCCUAAGUAAAAAAGCUUCCUUCGAGUGUAUCCCCGAGAUCCACUCGGAGGCUUAGUAGACCCUCAUUGAGGCUCAUGUGGAUGUGAAGACAACUGACAACUACAUGAGUAUCAACUCACUCCGAGUGUGUACAAGAUGCCGCACUCGGGGACUUAGCUGCGAUCCAGAAUCGCCUAAGUAAAAAAGCUUCCUUCGAGUGUAUCCUCGAGAUACUCGGAGGCUUAGCAGACCCUCAUUGAGGCUCAUGUGGAUGUGAAGACAACUGACAACUACAUGAGUAUCAACUCACUCCGAGUGCACAUGAGAUGGCACACUCGGGGACUUAGCUGCGAUCCAGAAUCGCCUAAGUAAAAAAGCUUCCUUCGAGUGUAUCCUCGAGAUACUCGGAGGCUUAGCAGACCCUCAUUGAGGCUCAUGUGGAUGUGAAGACAACUUACAAUUACAUGCUCCGCAUGUUUGCCAUUGGCUUCACCAAGAAACGCCAAACAAAAACCACGAGCCAAAAUCGUGUCAAAAAAAACUUGGCGAAAGAAGAGCAAAAUAUUCGAUUCGAAUUCAAAGUUGGAUCUACGAUCGGUCGGCUCGGUGUGGAUCAAGCUUAUCCACACCGAACCACGAAUGUAAUGGCCAACAGCAGUGGGCAAAGUUUGAUACAGAUAACACUCGGCAUUCCGAGGCAAAAGUGCGUUCACCAUAAAGUUUUUCAAGCGUCACCAGGACUGCAGGCUCCACAAAGGUGUCAAGGUCGAUCCCGUCUGCGAUGCGAGUGGUUGUGUCGAUGAAGGUCUCCAUGAAAUCCUCGAAUCGAAGCUUCUUGGUGUUGGCGACCUGCAACGCCUUCAGCUUUUCUUCACGAGCUUCUUUGCAGUGCACUCGGACCAAAGAUAGCGCCACGUCCGCACCACAACGAGCGGCAGACUUCUUCCAUGCCUGCACUCGGUUCGGGACGUCCUCUAGCCGAGUCAUCAACCCUUCUAUUUCUUGCCGGGAAUCGUCUUCGGGCCACAGCUCCUUGUCGAUCCGGCCGAUGACUUCUCUCAGGCGGCCGAUGAAAGGUCCCACUCUGCCAAGGCGAAUACGCGCUCGGAGCAUGUCCCGGUUGGCUUCGUCGCCGAGUGGAACGUUCGGAACAACCGACCGUUCAAUAUCGGCUGCUUCAGCCUCAGCGUCCAGACAAAAAUCUGCCAAGAAAAGACAAGCAGAAAGUAAGCGCAGAAUAAACUCCAAAGACAAGAAGCACUCGGCAAAAAACUUACCACCAAGCAGUGCAAUCAUCUUCCUUGCCCAGUCGCUGACAUACUUCUCCUGCGCCAUGCACCGAUUGUUGAUCAUCUGACCCAUCAGUUCAGUUCUUUGCUUGCCCAUUUUCUCAAUUUCGGCCACCAAUGCCUUGUUUGUCUCCCGGGACUCCUCCAAAGACUUCUCUCGGUCAGCAAGAGCCCCCUUCACACCAGCCAAGUCAUUCAUAGCCGCCUCCAAUUCCGCAGCAAGCUGAAUCUUUUCAGCCUUCAGAGCAUUGUACGCGGAUCCCAUUUCGCAAGUCUUCUGCCAAAUCAGCGCAAAGGGAAGAUCAGACACAUUCAACAAGGAAAACAAACAAAGCUCAAAGUUCUUCAGACCCCUGCCGAUGCAAGCAAUUGACAGCGGUCUCGGGGACUACACCCAGUGGGUUCACUAAGAGUGACCCNNNNNNNNNNAGCAUGAAGCUCGAACAGGCCGGCCCUAUUGAGCUACAUGACAAACAGACAAGCCUAUGAGACUACUAUUACCCGACCUGAGUAACACUACUCUCGGGGAGUACACCCAGUGGGUGCACUCGGAGUGCCCCCACUGGUACCAUUCGGGCAGAUCAGCUCUGAUCUGAUCAGGUCACGGGAAAUGCAUAUAAAGACAACUGCCGGUGCAAGCACUCGACAGAAGUCUCGGGGACUACACCCACUGGGUUCACUCGGAGUGAACCCACUGCAAACUAAUCCUACCGUAUCGGAGUAUGGCACUUAAAUCCCCAGUGGGUAACAAGAGGAAAGUAAACACUUACUAGCGCACUUACUCGGAUAUCGUCCCGGAGUUCCAAGCUUCUCUUGUACAAAGACGUGAUGGAGUCAUACGCUCCCUUGGCGUCACCCACCAUCAUAUCCACCUGCACCAUGGCCUCCUUGGCGGUCGCUCCCUUGGCGUCACCCACCAUCAGCUCCACCUGCACCAUGGCCUCCUUGGCGGCCCCCACUUGGUCUUCUGGGAGAUGUCGGGCGUCGUACUGGACGGUCGAUGGACCCGGCACGACAGAAGACUCCUUGGGCAUCCCAAGUUCCGCUCCAUUCGGUUCCGCCGCGAGGGGCACCGUCUCAGUCGGCGGCAUCGUCUCGGUCGGCGGCACGUCCAUGGUGGGAGCAGCAACAGAUGGGACAACCUCAAGGACAGGCGCCAAAGCUGGCCCUGACCCCCUUUGGUCGUCGUCCUCCAGGUGAAUCACCUCCGAAGGAAGCCCGACUGAACAACAUGAAAUUACAGAAAAAGGGCAAGAUUAAAGAUAGCACUCGCGAAACAAUAAUACAAACUCUCGGAGUCGUGACACCGUACCUUGCUGGGAAGUGGCAGCGUUAUCCGUGUCCAUGGGAUCAUCACCUUGGCGCGGCAGAGAGGUGGCGGAGGUAGCAGCCCUGUCGAGUAAAAUCCAUUCGACGGAUAAGCAUGAGUUCAACUAGAUACUGAAGCAAGAUGGGAGAACAAGACACUUACGCUGAGGCGACUGGAACAACGAUCCUCAUCCGAGGCAAAGCUUUCCGAGGCUUGGGCCCGCUAUGUUUUGCCACCUUGGAUGGCUGAUCCGUGGGCUCGGCAGCAGCGUCCCUAGUCCUCUUCACGCUCUGAGCACUUGGAGCCACGGGAGAGGCUGGUGGGGCACUCGGGGCCGCUGGAGGAGCCGGCGGAGCCGCAGGUUCGUGACGGCGCUUAGUUGGAGGCUCUGAUGGUGGAGGUGGCGAGCUCUGCUCCCCAACCUCCCCCUCAUCCUCUUCAGUCUCCUCCUCCGUCUCCCCACUGUCGGAGACGUACUCGGCGCUAUCCAUGCUGCCCUCCUGGCUGCCCUCCUCUUCCUCAGCUGGAUUCCCAUUCGAGACGGGAGAAUACCAGUUGGUCCACUCCUGCACAAAACACAGUUGGCAACGUCAGACGUCAGGCGACGGUACAAGAAAAGCGAUAAAUCUAAGAAGAUUGAAAGCACUCGACAAGAGGUGCUCACCUCAUUCGGAGGAGGAUUAUCGGCGCGGAAGGGCUUCACCCGUCGGGCUCCUCUGGGGUUGUCGCACGCGCCUGUAAUGCCGCGGACCCACGCUGUCACAACCUCCCCGAUCAUGAUUACUGGAUGAGUCCGAGUGGAAUCCUCAGGCCCCGUGUAGUGCCACAUGGCGUGGUGUCGGGCUUGCAGCGGCUGUAUGCGCCGACCCAGAAAAGUCUCCAGCAAAUCCGUGCCGGUGACUCCCUUGCGGACGACAACUAUCAGCACGUCGACCAGAGGUUGGAUCUGGAUCUUUUCCACCUUUGAGAGCGCAAGCUGCCUGGGANNNNNNNNNNNNNNNNNNNNNNNNNNNNNNNNNNNNNNNNNNNNNNNNNNNNNNNNCGUUUUCUUCUGGAAGCCUAAGCCCCCGCAGAGCUAGAGGAGAUGGGUUUUAUCAUCCGACUGGCUAAGCUUUUUGACAGUCUAGGACCUAGCGGAGAAGAUGUACUUAAAGAGCCCCCAAUGAGGGGACAUCCAAUAAAGCACUCGCAAAGGGUGACGAAUGCGGCAAGAUGGGCUAUCGCGUUUGGAGGAAAAUCAUGGAGCUGCGCCCCGAAGUGAUUCAUAAUACCUCUAAAGAAGGGGUGGGNNNNNNNNNNCAGUCGACCUGGUUCUAUUGCCAGGACAUCGCUUGUCCGAAUGCCGCGACUGGGUUGCCACCCUUUAGCCUAGACCGUCUGGCCCCUCCCAGGCAGCUUGCGCUCUCAAAGGUGGAAAAGAUCCAGAUCCAACCACUCGUCGACGUGCUGAUAGCUGUCGUCCGCAAGGGAGUCACCGACACGGAUUUGCUGGAGACUUUUCUGGGUCGGCGCAUACAGCCGCUGCANNNNNNNNNNNNNNNNNNNNNNNNNNNNNNNNNNNNNNNNNNNNNNNNNNNNNNNNNNNNNNNNNNNNNNNNNNNNNNNNNNNNNNNNNNNNNNNNNNNNAAAAAAGUGGUUCACGUGAAACUACACGUCGUUCUAGUCCCUUUACACACAUGGAACAUCUCCAACGAAGCUACGGUUAAUAAACUACGACCUAAACCAUUUAAACACGACACAACACGCAAAACGAGGUAAAUAGCAAGGUUAAUAGUUUUAAUCAUGCAUGAGAGUUGAAAAAUAUUAAUCUACGCAAAAUUCUAGUCAAGUUACAUAUUUAAAUCACUUCGAUCCGGUGGACGGUUAAGAAUCUACGAGCGUUUUAAAAACAAUGCAUUUUCUGAAAUUCGAAUAAACGCUGCACGGAAAAAAACACCAACGGGCCCUAACUAGCUAACGGGUUAUAAUUUAUUUUAUAUGAAUUUACAAUGUUUUAAUAAUAUACUAGAAUUGAAUUUUAUUUAUUAAUUCGAAAUAUACAAAACAGUAAAUGCUAAGUGCUCCCACAGUUGUACCCACUCAGCACACACACGAGCUGACGGGUGGGUCCUACUGACUAGGUCAACUCCAAGUCAGCAAAGGCUGACUCGUGGGCAGCUGCAGAGUAAGUAGGUUGUCACUUAGUUAAAUUAACUAAAACAUUUUAUUAGGGUUAAUUAAAUCGUGCGUGCUCGGCUAUCAGUGGACAUUAGAGGGGAGUGUCCGUGUCAAAACCGGCUCAUCUCGAGUAGGGGGUCCGCACUGUGGAUCUAGGGUCGACGGGUANNNNNNNNNNNNNNNNNNNNNNNNNNNNNNNNNNNNNNNNNNNNNNNNNNNNNNNNNNNNNNNNNNNNNNNNNNNNNNNNNNNNNNNNNNNNNNNNNNNNUACUGUAAUCCCAUAUUCCACUCGACACUAAGCUCCCAAGAGCACUGAACGUAGGGCUUUUACCUCCACCGUAGAGGGGCGUGAACUCAUACAACCUCGCCGUAGCUAAGGCUCUGCCCAUCCUUUCGUACCCUAGACAUCUACUGUCAGACUUAUACCCACGACAUUUGGUUUGUGGUUUCGGUGUAUGGUGUAUUUCCUCACUAAUGAAUUANNNNNNNNNNNNNNNNNNNNNNNNNNNNNNNNNNNNNNNNNNNNNNNNNNNNNNNNNNNNNNNNNNNNNNNNNNNNNNNNNNNNNNNNNNNNNNNNNNNNNNNNNNNNNNNNNNNNNNNNNNNNNNNNNNNNNNNNNNNNNNNNNNNNNNNNNNNNNNNNNNNNNNNNNNNNNNNNNNNNNNNNNNNNNNNNNNNNNNNNCGUUGGAGUGGAUAAGACCAAUGACUUGGCGUGGCUAUCGAAAUGGUCGGAACCCUCAACUGUGAGAGUCCUCAUGUCACUCGUAUUCCUCACUUGAGGCUUUUGGUAGGAUUAGGCUUGGGUUGAGCAUCAUGAGGCAAUUCAUUCCAAAGUGUAACUUCGACCCCCUUUAAUAGUACGGUGUUCCUAUUACUCAAAUGUGAAGAAAAUUAAACAGAAAGAGUAAAUCUUCAUGCUUGAAAUUCUUCAAAGUGAUUUUCUUCAGGACACACCGAAUUUCAGUACCUUCAUGAGGAAUAUCAAUUUCGUCGCAGAUUCCUCGCGAUUCAUUUCUUCAGCUUCAGACCAAUUUCUUCAACCGAAGAUAUACAUNNNNNNNNNNNNNNNNNNNNNNNNNNNNNNNNNNNNNNNNNNNNNNNNNNNNNNNNNNNNNNNNNNNNNNNNNNNNNNNNNNNNNNNNNNNNNNNNNNNNUCGGGUUAAUUACUCCCUAUGUGCUUCACUAGUUAAUUAGGCAAAUAUAGUUGCAAAGUUGGGCCUUGCUAGACCAGUUGGAAUCUAAAACGAAUUAUCAAGGGGGUCCCCACAACAACCCCGACCGUGUUAGGAGCGCUCAAUUAUGGAAUAUAACACCGAUAGCCGAAACUAAGGGGGGCAAAGGUGGAACAAAACACCAGGCUAGAAAGCCGAGCCUUCCACCUUUUACCAAGUAUAUAGGUGCAUUAAAUUAAUUAGCAAUUAUAUGGUCAUAUAGCAAGGAACCCAUGUUAUCACAUGGAAGCAACUACACCUGCAACUAGCAAAACUAACACAUGGUUAAGCAAGCGGUAACAUAGCCAAUCAGUGGUUUGCUAGGUUGUGAACAUGUUGAAAGCUUUCAUGGCAAUAUUGAGAGGCUGACAUUUAACAUGUCGUAGGCAACGAGACAUAGCGAUAGAAAUGAAACACUAGCAUUGCCAUGAUAGUAAUGGUAUCUAGGGAAACGGUCAUCUUGCCUGAGAUCCCGCUUGGAAGAAGAAUGACUCCGUGAAGCAGGCGAACCGAUGUAGUUGAACGUAUCCUCACUCUCCGAAGCGGUCAGAACUCUAUCGAGAGGAAACAACUGGAACAACAAUCACACACGGUAACAUCACAAAAGCAUGACAUGAUGCACAACACAUAUGAUGCAUGUCUAGGUUAUUUAUGCAAGGCACGACAUGGCGAUUCACAUCACGCAAACGCUACACGUUAGUUCGCUCCCGUUUAGGUACACGGAAAUAUUAAAUGUUGUUAAGCAUGGCAAGGGGUGAAGCACAAAUAAUCUACCUAUCAAGGCAUUUAAAUGAGUCCGGAAACAACAUAUAGCAUCUCCGAAAUGACCCCAUGUGUUACUUUGUAAAUCUAUCCAGAUUUGUCCUAAUCACAUUUUAUGUUUGUUAAACGAAAAAAGUGGUUCACGUGAAACUACACGUCGUUCUAGUCCCUUUACACAUAUGGAACAUCUCCAACGGAGCUACGGUCAAUAAACUACGACCUAAACCAUUUAAACACGACACAACAUGCAAAACGAGGUAAAUAGCAAGGUUAAUAGUUUUAAUCACGCGUGAGAGUUGGAAAAUAUUAAUCUACGCAAAAUUCUAGUCAAGUUACAUAUUUAAAUCACUCCGAUCCGGUGGACGGUUAAGAAUCUACGAUCGUUUGAAAAACAAUGCAUUUUCUGAAAUUCGAAUAAACGCUGCACGGAAAAAACACCAACGGGCCCUAACUAGCUAACGGGCCGAAAAGAGGCACGCGCUAAAUACUAUACUACGCCGGGGGAGGGAGAUAGCGCAAGGGGCGAGGCUGCUCACCUGGUCCAUCGGGCUGGCUGGAGGGAGGAAGGUGGGCCGAAGGGAGGAGGCGCUGGCGAGGAGUAGCGAGCUGGCCUCGCUCGCUGGGCCGAGCCGGUGGAGCGGAUGGCCACCGGGUUGCUGGGCCGGCGGGGCGUGGCCCAUGCGGGCUGGGCGAACGCCAGCGCGUCGUGCCCGUUGUCUCCCUCAUGGAGAACGAGCUUGACGGGCUCGCCAGCGGCGCACGACACGACAGAGCUGGCCGGAAUGAGCGAGGGCCCAUGGAUCCGGCGAGGUCCGGGCGCGGAACGACGGUUGGAGGUCGGAUCCUGGCAGCAGAGGUGGAUCCCAGUGGCGGCAACGGAACGAGGCGGCACGUGGCACCUCGGGAGACGGUGGCCGGGCUGAAGAGGCGACCGGAGCUCUGGGCGGCGGGAUCUGCUGCGGGCCUCCUGCGACAGGGCACCAACACGACGAAAGGCGCAGGAUCCGGCGGGAGCGAGGGCACUGCAGCGAACAGCGGCUCAAGCGAGCUCCUGGAUCGAGAGGAGCCCCGAUCUGGAGCUCGAGGCGAGCGGGGCUGGCUCGAUCCGGGCCCGGGGCGGGCCGCGAUGUGCUUUGGCGGGCCUAGAGCGGUGGUUGGCUGGUUGGCGGCGCGGAGAGAGGUGGGAGGCGACCAGGUGGCGACUGGCACAUGUUUCGAGGUGGGGAUUAGGGUUGGGCUAGAAUAGGUAGGAUUUGGGGUCUAUUUAUAGCAAAAGAGGGCUAUGGUUAGCCAUUUUUCGCCCUGGUUUCAACCUUGUGAUCUAAAUCGGACGGUCUCGAACGCGGGGACGGGCUAAGUGGCCGUGUAGAGUAGACUAGCCGGAGAUAAGAGGGAAAACAGGCGACCCGACAACGAAAUUUGAAACCGAAAAACGUCCGACGAUAAACCGAAGACGGUGCCACUACGGUCGACCAUUCGGGUACCAGACAGACUUCGAUUUCGACGAAAAUUGGCAGGCGGCCUACCUAUAUAAAAAUAAGACCGCACGCCAAGUUUCAACCCAAUCGGAGAAUAUUUUAUACACACUUUUAAAAACAAGGAUUUGACGAUGCCGCGGGCGCGUGCGUGUGUGGUCGGGCUCGAAACGGUCAACGACGAAGGUAGAGAGAACCAUCAACUAAUAACGGAUGCAAGUUUGAAAAUUGGCGGCAAGUGAGUGCCGAUGCAAUGCGAAUGAUGCGCAUGAUGCGAUGAUGAAUGCGACAGUCAACCUAAUCACAGGGCGGCAAUAGACUAAAAGGGGAAUCUUCUGGGGCGUCGGUCUCGGGUUAUCACAACUCUCCUACAAUAACAAGAGAUCUUGCCCCAAGAUCUAAGAAUGAAGAGGGGAAGAGGGUGAGAAGAGCAAAAAGGUAAAGCUUAGUUGCUUCUUUGACAAAUGAAUGAAACUAGCAAUCCUAGAAGGUGCAAAGAGAUGAAGAAUGAUAUGAGAAACAAGCAAGAAUUCACACAAAAUUUCAGCAGCACUUCGGUAGGAAAAGAGGACAAAAUUUGAUAAGCUAGAAAGAACUUGAAAGAUUCAAAACAAUCCAACCAAAUUGAAUAAACAAGGAAAGAACAUGAUCUUCAUAGAACAAGAUGAUUGACCCAAAAGAGCAACAUCACAAUGUCUCCGGAGCAAGAGAAUAGAAACUAGAUCAUUGAGAAGAAGCAAUGAAUAAGAGAAUGACAACUACUAUCAAAUGAAUUUGACAAGCAACCUAUAAAGAAGAAUUGAACGGAGUUAUUGGCAACCAACAACGAAAAGAACAAGCUUGUUGUGGACUAUGAAAACCAUCUCAAAUAAUGAGUUGACAACCGGCCAGUAACAGAAACAAGGACAAAUUGGGAGCAACACGAUAACAACGAUGGAAGAAAUAUGGGUUGAAAUAACUCAUGAUCGAAGAAUUGGUGGAUUUAAAUAUGUCAUUCUUGAAACAAACUCGCUUCAAGACUCCUCCACUAACAAGAACGCUAUAAGACCACCACAAGGAUAAGGGGAAAGAAUUGCUCUUUGAAAUGCAAGAGAAAGAAUACUAGAGGUUCUACAACAAGAAUCUUGAAGAAUACCUUGAAAAUGAAUUGAAUCCUUGAAAAACCACCACAAAACCUCUUGAAGAACACCAGAAUGAAAGGAUGAAAGAAUAAGAUAUCAUGAACAACUCCGGAAGAAGAAUUGAAAUCACUGAUGAAACAAGAAUAAGAAUUAUGUUAUGCUCAUUCUUCAUCAAGUUAAAUUGACGCCAAACAACGGAUUUAGCAUACCACUUAUUCUUCUUGAGACAGAUUUAAGAGAGAGAUAGAGCACAGACUUGAAGAAGUCUUGGAAGAAGCACCAGUAAGAAUUGCAAAUGAAUGGGAAUACCAAGAAUAAAUGGAUAUGCAUGAGAAUGAAGAGAUCAUGAUCCACCUGAGAGAAAGACAUGAACAAGCCACCAGAAUAAUUGAGAGACGAACCAAGAGACAGUAAUUGAGAAGAAUUGGAGGAUGAAAGCUGAAAGCUGAGAACGAAGAAAACUUUUGAAAUGAUGGCCUUCGGAGGAUCAAGAAUGAAAACAACUCAGAAAUGCACCGGAUAACAAGAAAGGGAUUCUCAUGAUUGGGAAUAAUUGAGAAGAUAGCACGAGGUGAGAUGAAAAACUUCAAAGAAUGGACAAGAUUUGAGAGAAACACUCCUUCGGUCUUCCAAGCUGAAAAUGAUGAGGAGAACACCACCAAGAAUUACUAAGACACUCCGGAAUAAGAAUGAGGAAUAUNNNNNNNNNNNNNNNNNNNNNNNNNNNNNNNNNNNNNNNNNNNNNNNNNNNNNNNNNNNNNNNNNNNNNNNNNNNNNNNNNNNNNNNNNNNNNNNNNNNNUACCCAUUGGAUUUUGGAAAAGGUCCCAUAUAAUCAAAGCCCCAGACAUCAAAUGGUUCAAUGACAAGUGAAUAGUUCAUAGGCAUUUCCUGACAUUUACCGAUAUUACCUAUUCUUUGACAUUCAUCACAAGACAAGACAAACUUACGGGCAUCCUUGAAGAGAGUGGGCCAAUAGAAACCUGAUUGCAAUACCUUGUGUGCAGUUCUAUCUCCCGCACGGUGUCCUCCGUAGGCCUCGGAAUGACACUUCUGUAGGAUCUGUCCCUGUUCAUGUUCAGGUACACAACGUCUAAUGACACCAUCUACUCCUUCCUUAUAAAGGUGAGGAUCAUCCCAGAAGUAAUGUCUCAAGUCAAAGAAGACUUUCUUCUUUUGUUGGUAUGUGAAACUAGGUCGUAUAUAUUUAGCAACGAUAUAGUUUGCAUAAUCAGCAUACCACGGUGCGCUACGUGAAGCUUUGAUGACAUCCAAUUGCUCACCGAGAAAGCUAUCAUCAAUUGGUUGUGGGUCAUCAAGAAUGUUCUCCAACCUAGACAAGUUAUCCGCUACUGGGUUAUCAGCACCCUUCCUGUCGACAACGUGCAAAUCAAAUUCUUGUAGCACGAAAACCCAUCUUAUAAGUCUAGGUUUAACGUCUUUCUUCUCCAUGAGGUACUUAAUAGCAGCGUGAUCAGUGUGAAUAGUGACUUUGGAAUCAACUAUGUAAGACCUGAACUUUUCACAUGCAAACACGAUGCUAAAAAUUCCUUUUCCGUAGUAGCAUAGUUUCUUUGGGCACUGUCUAGAGUUCUACUAGCAUAGUGAAUAAUGUUCAACUUCUUAUCAACUCUUUUCCCUAGGACAGCACCAACAGCAUAAUCGCUAGCAUCACACAUGAUUUCAUAAGUAAGUUCCAAUCAGGUGGUUGAACAAUAGGUGCAGUUAUCAAAGCCUUCUUAAGUAUUUCGAAGGCUUCCUCACAAUCAUCGUCAAAAACAAAAGGAAUAUCCUUUUGCAAGAGAUUGGUAAGAGACCUAGAAAUAUUAGAGAAGUCUUUAAUGAACCUUCUAUAGAAACCAGCAUGACCAAGGAAACUUCUUAUACCUUUGAUAUCUGUGGGGUAUGGCAUUUUCUGGAUUGCAUCAACCUUAGCCUUAUCGACUUCAAUACCUCUUUCAGAAAUUUUAUGUCCUAAGACGAUUCCUUUAUUAACCAUAAAGUGGCACUUCUCCCAAUUCAAGACAAGAUUGGUUUCUUUACAUCUCGACAAGACUCGAUCAAGGUUGCUGAGGCAAUCAUCAAAAGAAGACCCUUAAACGGAGAAGUCAUCCAUGAAAACUUCAACAAUCUUUUCACAAAACUCAGAGAAUAUAGCCAUCAUACAUCUUUGAAAGGUGGCAGGUGCAUUACACAAGCCAAAAGGCAUACGUCUAUAAGCAAAGGUACCGAAAGGGCAUGUGAAAGUGGUUUUCUCCUGAUCAGAUUGUGCAACUGGUAUUUGGGAGAAACCAGCAUAACCGUCUAGAAAGCAGAAGUGUGUGUGUUUAGACAGUCUUUCUAGCAUUUGGUUGGUAAAAGGCAAAGGGUAAUGAUCUUUCCUAGUGGCUUUAUUCAAUUUCCUAAAAUCGUCACCAUCCUAUAGCCAGUAAUAAUCCUGUGUGGGAUCAAUUCAUCCUUAUCAUCAGGGACAACGGUAAUCCUCCCUUCUUAGGGACGCAAUACACCGGACUUACCCAAUCACUAUGAGCAACAGGAUAGAUAAUACCUGCUUCCAGGAGCUUUAGUAUUUCUUUUCUUACUACUUCUUUCAUCUUAGGAUUCAAUCUCCUUUGAUAACCAGCAACUGGUUUGGAAUCAGGAUCAGUUUUGAUCUUGUGUUGGCAUAGAGUGGGACUAAUGCCCUUAAGAUCAUCAAGAGUAUAUCCAAUAGCAGCACAAUGCUUCCUCAAAGUUUUUAGUAACUUCUUUUCUUCAUGCUCUGACAGGCUAGCAGUAAUAAUAACAAGACAUAUCUCUUUUUCAUCAAGAUAAGCAUACUUAAGAGUAUCUGGCAAUUGUUUAAGCUCGAACACAGGAUCACCCUUUGGGAGGGGUGGAUCCCCAAGCGGUUCAACAGGCAAGUUAUUCUUAAGAAUAGGGUAUUGUUCUAAGACGACUCUAUCUAUCUCAUCCCUUUCAUACAUAUGCAUAUCAUUUUCAUGCUCAAACAAGUAUUGCUCUAAGGGAUCAGUAGGAGGCACGGCAAUAGAGGCUAAGGCAAUAGUUUCAUCCUUACUAGGCAACUCUUUUUCAUGAGUUUUCUACCAAACUUGGAGAAACUGAACUCAUGUGACACACCUUCAAAGCCAACAGUGACAGUUUGCUUCUCACAGUCAAUAUGAGCAUUGACGGUAUUGAGGAAGGGUCUGCCAAAUAUGAUGGGACAAAAGCUAUCUUGUGCGGUAGCAAGAACGAGGAUAUCAGCAGGAUACUUCGUUUUACCACACAGGACUUCAACAUCCCUAACAAUUCCCACAGGGCAGAUAGUAUCUCUAUUAGCAAGCUAAAUAGUGACAUCAAUAGGCUCUAUCUCAAUAGGUGCAAUCUCGUCUUUGAUUUCAUCAUAUAAGGAUAGGGGUAUUGCACUAACACCAGCACCCACGUCACAUAAACCAUGAUAAAAAUGAUCUCCUAUCUUAACAGAAACAACACGCGUGCCAACAACAUGCCUAUGUUUGUCUCUAGCGUGAGGUUUAGCAAUUCUAGCAGCAUCUUCACAGAGGUGAAUAUUAUGUCCCUCAACAUCGUCGGACAGAAGAUCUUUGAUGAUAGCAAUGCUAGGUUCAACUCUAAUUUGCUCAGGGGGUGUAGAUGUUCUAAUGUAUCCUCUACGUAUUACAGUUGAAGCUUUAGAAUGAUCCUUUAUCCUAACAGGGAAAGGUGGUUUCUCAAUGUAAGCACUGGGAACAACAUGAUCAUUAUAGGCAAUGACUUUCUCUUCAACUGGAUUGGGUUUAACUACAUUGACUUCUAAAGGAGGAUGAUAUUAAAACCACUUCUCUUUGGGGAGAUCAAUAUGAGCAGCAAAUGAUUCACACAAUGAAGCUACUAUCUCAGAGUCAAGUCCAUACUUAGCGCUAAAAUCAUAAAAAGUAUUUGUUUCAACAAAGGAUUUAACGCAAUCAAACUUGAAAUUCAUACCUCACUCCUUACCUUCUUCAACCUCCCAAUCUUUAGAGUUGUGUUUAAUUCUCUCCAAUAAAUUCCAUCUGAAGUCAAUAUCUCUCUUCAUAAAAGAACCGGUACAAGAAGUGUCAAGCAUGGUGCGAUCAUCAUGAGAAAGCCGAGCAUAGAAGUUCUGAAUGAUAAUUUCUCUCGAGAGGUCAUGGUUGGGGCAUGAGUAUAACAUAGAUUUGAGCCUCCCCAAGCUUGAGCGAUGCUUUCUCUGUCACGAGGCCAAAAAUUAUAAAUAAAAUUCCUAUCACGAUGUACGAAAUGCAUAGGAUAAAACUUUUGAUGAAAUUCCAAUUUCAACCAAUUGUAGUCCCAUGAUCCAGUAUCAUCACAUAGCCUAUACCAUGUCAACGCCUUAUCCUUCAAAGAUAAAGGAAAGACCUUCUUCUUGACCUCAUCCUUGGGCAAACCUGCAAGCUUAAAUAAACCACAAACUUCAUCUACAUAGAUUAGAUGCAAGUCUGGAUGUGAUGUUCCAUCUCCUGUAAAAGGAUUAGCCAGCAGUUUGUCAAGCAUACCCGAAGGAAAUUCAAAGCAAAUAUUUUUCAGUAGGUGUAGCAGGUUGAGGAGAAACUCUUUGUGCUUCCGUUCAAGGUGAAGAUACCCCGAACAAGCCCCUCAAGGAUUAGUUUCCAUAGUGACAAGUGACAAUAAAUUUUAGCACACUAUAUGAAGGUUUCCUUACCAAUUUCCACUUACCAAAGGCGCUUCACUCCCCGACAACAGAGCCAGAAAAUAGUCUUGAUGACCCACAAGUAUAGGGGAUCAAUCGUAGUCCUUUCGAUAAGUAAGAGUGUCGAACCCAACGAGGAGCAGAAGGAUCUGACAAGUGGUCUUUCCAGCACAUUGGGAUCCUAAGCUUNNNNNNNNNNNNNNNNNNNNNNNNNNNNNNNNNNNNNNNNNNNNNNNNNNNNNNNNNNNNNNNNNNNNNNNNNNNNNNNNNNNNNNNNNNNNNNNNNNNNCACCAACGCCACGAAGGCUCACCCUAUUCUCCCUUUGAGAUAACACCACGAAGGCGUUUCUCAACCACUAGUGGUAAGCCUUUGAGGUGGCUUCCAAACCCUCACAAACUUUUCCGGGGGAAAUCACACCGAUUGAUUCCUCUCCGAAGAACUCCUACCGCCUAGGAGUCUCCAACCUCCAAGAGUAACAAGAUCACGGGGAAUGCUCAAAACUUGCUCAAAUCUCAAAUAGCUUGGGUUGAGAGGAGAAGAGGGAGACGAUCUAUCUUUUGAUUGGAACAACUCUCAAAGGGGCUCACAAAUGCUCUUGGGAUCUAAGAUUUGGUGUGAGCAAAUGUGUGUGAGAUAGAAAUGUGUUCUUAUGAGGAUAUGGCUAUGUUGGGCCCCCUCUCAUGAAGUGGGAGGGGGUAUUUAUAGUGGAGAAGGGAAAGUGACCAUUGGGGUCACUUAAGUCUGACAGUGGUCGGACGUCCGGCAGUUCUCGGAUGUUCGGACUCCCACAAGGGGUCGGACGUCCGAUAGGGGUCGGUCGUCCGAGGGAUGUAUAUAUAUCAGGAACCACUGUGUAGUCGNNNNNNNNNNNNNNNNNNNNNNNNNNNNNNNNNNNNNNNNNNNNNNNNNNNNNNNNNNNNNNNNNNNNNNNNNNNNNNNNNNNNNNNNNNNNNNNNNNNNGAUCUAUAAGUCAUUGAGGAGUUUGAGAUAUUUGAAGAAUAUCGACCCCUAAAAAUGUAUAUCUUCGGUUGAAGAAAUUGGUCUGAAGCUGAAGAAAUGAAUCGCGAGGAAUCUGCGACGAAAUUGAUAUUCCUCAUGAAGAUACUGAAAUUCGGUGUGUCCUGAAGAAAAUCACUUUGAAGAAUUUGAAGCAUGAAGAUUUACUCUUUCUAUUUUAUUUUCUUCACAUUUGAGUAAUAGGAACACCGUACUGUUAAAGGGGGUCGAAGUUACACUUUGGAAUGAAUUUCCUCAUGAUGCUCAACCCAAGCCUAAUCCUAACAAAAGCCUCAAGUGAGGAAUACGAGUGACAUGAGGACUCUCACAGUUGAGGGUUCCGACCAUUUCGAUAGCCACGCCAAGUCAUUGGUCUUAUCCACUCCAACGGUCAUAUUAUUUAAGGGCAUUAGUGUCAAAUCAUGUCGGGAUGCUCCCAGGCUAUAAAUAGCCACCCCCCACAACCAUUAGCUGGUUGGCUGCUCCGUUAGAAACUGACACUUGUCAUAAGAGCAACCCAAUUCCUCAGAGUCUUCGAGAGUAAUUCAUUAGUGAGGAAAUACACCAUACACCGAAACCACAAACCAAAUGUCGUGGGUAUAAGUCUGACAGUAGAUGUCUAGGGUACGAAAGGAUGGGCAGAGCCUUAGCUACGGCGAGGUUGUAUGAGUUCACGCCCCUCUACGGUGGAGGUAAAAGCCCUACGUUCAGUGCUCUUGGGAGCUUAGUGUCGAGUGGAAUAUGGGAUUACAGUAAAUGCCAAUCCCUGCACCAGUGGGGAAGGGCGGCUUAUAUAGAGCGCGCUGCCCUCCACAACGGCCCGGUGGACAGGGGUGGAAUAGUGGCGAAUAAAUGCCUACGUUACAGGUAACGUAUGCCUUAAAUGCUAAUAAUGGUGUAUGAAAACGUAUGACCGUUGCCCUCCUGGGAGCUUACAAUGUACAGAGUGGAAUUCAGUCGGUACGAUAAAUACACUACGAAUGCUUGUCACCGACUGGAUGAUGGGGGGGUCCUUAGUUCAGUCGGAACUGUGUAAGGGCCUUGCCCUCUAUGAAGGGUAGUCCUUGGGUAGGACCUAUAGGGCAGGCCUAUGACCCUACCUUGGGACUAUAGCCCCAUCAUUAGUCCCCGAAUGGAUCGGCGUUGGAAUGAUGAAGUGAUGCGUGGAGUANNNNNNNNNNNNNNNNNNNNNNNNNNNNNNNNNNNNNNNNNNNNNNNNNNNNNNNNNNNNNNNNNNNNNNNNNNNNNNNNNNNNNNNNNNNNNNNNNNNNAAGCUUAGGAUCCCAAUGUGCUGGAAAGGGCGUUCGGUCGGCGACACUUACGACCCGAGACCCGACGCAAGAGGGCGAAUCGCCCAGCGAAGAGUCGACAGAGGUCGAGCCCACCGCGAUGGCCACGACCUGGAUCGUCCGAGUGGCAGCAGGACCAUCGUGUCCGGCCCCGAGUGUUUUAGUCGAGCCAUCCGCUCGGCUGACAUCCCGCCCAACUUCCGAUUGGCAGCGGGAAUCGGUAAAUUUACGGGGGAAUCCAAGCCUGAAACAUGGCUAGACGACUACCGAGUGGCAGUCCAGAUCGGAGGAGGGGACGACUAUGUCGCUAUGAAGCACCUCCCUCUGAUGCUCGACGGCUCGGGCGAGCUUGGCUGAACCAGUUAGCCCCCUCAAGCAUUUACAGUUGGGCAGAUCUCGCCCGAGUGUUCAUCAGGACCUUCGAAGGGACGUGCAAACGCCCUGCAGGCCUCGUGGAGCUUCAGCACUGUGUCUAGAAGCCGAAUGAGCCCUUGCGCGACUUCAUCCAGCGAUGGACGACUCUCUACCACACGGUGGAGAGCGUCACCGAGCAUCAAGCAGUCUGCGCAUUCAAGGCAGGCGUACGGUACAGAGAGUUGUACCUAAAGUUCGGCCGGACAGGCGACAUCUCCAUGAGCAAGAUGAUGUAGAUAGCUGCUUGUUAUGCAAAUGGCGAGGAAGAAGACCGUAUCCGGAGCGGCAAACACAAGAUAGUCGGCGAUGCCGACGGAGGUAACACUCGGAAGCAGAAACAGAAAGUUCCACCCACACCGCAGGCAGAAGCUGCAGCUGUGACCAGCGCCAAGUUCAAGGGCAAAGGGAAAGCGCAGUCUGCCCCCAAGAAGAAGCCGUUCAACAAUCCCAUCCUGGAUCAGCUUUGUCCAAUACACACGAAGAUGGACGAAGAAGGCAAUUCCAUAUACGCGAAGCGUACCACUCGGCAGUGUCGUCUCCUGAUCCAGGGGUUCAGCGAAGGACAACCGAGUGAGAAGAAUCCUGAACAAGAUGAGGAGGAUAAAGAGGAUCCGUUCCCCCAAGUCCAUGCAACCCUCAUGAUUUUUGCUGACGUCGAAAGCAAGAGUCGACUGAAGCUAGUGAACAGAGAGGUCAACAUGGCCGUUCCGACUGCUCCUAAGUUCCUUAGAUGGUCUCAGACUGCGAUCACCUUUGAUCAGUCGGACCAUCCAACGCAUGUCCCCACUCCAGGAAGACAGGCUCUGGUCGUCGACCCGGUGGUGGAAGGAGUCCGACUGCGCAAAGUCCUCAUGGACGGCGGUAGCGGACUGAACAUCAUGUACGCCGACACCCUCAAGGGAAUGGGCAUUCCGAUGUCCAGACUCAGCGAGAGCAAUAUGCAGUUCCACGGAGUCGUCCCCGGGCGGAAGGCCAAGUCACUCAGCCAGAUCGCGUUGGACGUCACUUUUGGCUCCGACAAAAACUUUCGCAAGGAGAAGCUCACAUUCGAGGUGGUGGAUUUCCAGAGCGCUUACCAUGCAAUUCUGGGCCGCCCGGCGUACGUGAGUUUCAUGGCACGCCCGUGCUAUGUGUACUUGAAGUUGAAGAUGCCAGGUCCAAAAGGCGUUAUCACCAUCACCGGCAACCGUCAGCGAGCCGAGGAGUGUCUGCAAGAGGGAUCAAGGAUCGCCGACCAGCAGAUGGCUGUACUCGAGCUCGAAGAGUACAAGAAGACAGUCGACCCUGCCGACUUAAUGCGCUCAAAGAAGCCAGCUUCUGAGUCCGCGUUCCAGUCGGCGGGAGAGACUAAGAAGGUCAGCAUCCACCCGACGGACGAGUCUGCCGCCCCGACGAACAUCUCCACCACCCUCGAUCCUAAAUAGGAAGCCGAGCUCACCCAAUUCCUCCGUGAGAACUGGGACAUCUUCGCAUGGAAGCCUUCUGACAUGCCGGGUGUACCCAGGGAGUUGGCUGAGCACCGACUGCAUGUGGAUCCCGUCGCUCGGCCCGUCCGAGAGCGCCUGCGUCGGUCCGCCCCGCACAAGAGGAAGGCAAUCGGAGAAGAGGUGGCCAAGCUGCUGACUGCCAACUUCAUUCGCGAGGUUCACCACUCCGAGUGGCUCGCCAAUGUCGUCAUGGUGCUCAAGAAGGACAAGUCACUCCGAAUGUGCAUUGAUUUCAAGCACCUCAAUAAGGUCUGCCCGAAAGACCAUUUUCCGCUCCCCCGCAUAGAUCAAAUUGUCGAUUCGACUGCGGGAUGCGAGCGUUUGUCAUUCCUUGAUGCCUACUCGGGUUAUCAUCAGAUCCGUCUGUAUGGUCCCGAUGAGUUGAAAACAGCCUUCAUCACCCCGUUUGGGUGCUUCUGCUACAUCACUAUGCCUUUCGGUCUGAAGAAUGCAGGAGCUACCUUUAUGCGCAUGAUCCAAAAAUGUCUCCUCGACCAGAUCGGUCGCAAUGUGGAGGCAUACAUGGAUGAUAUCGUAGUCAAGUCACGCAAAGGUUCCGACCUGCUGACUGACUUGGCAGAAACAUUCGCCAACCUUCGUAGGUACGAUAUCAAGCUAAACCCAGCCAAGUGUUCAUUCGGUGUUCCCAGCGGAAAGUUACUCGGUUUCUUCGUUUCCGAACGAGGGAUCGAUGUUAACCCCGAAAAGAUCGGGACCAUCGUCCGAAUGGAUAGGCCGGUCAGAAUACACGAUGUUCAACGGCUCACAGGUUGCCUAGCGGCUUUGAGCAGGUUCAUCAGUCGACUCGGCGAAAAAGCACUUCCUCUGUACCGACUCAUGAAGAAGUCAGAUACCUUCGAGUGGACAGACGAAGCCCAAGUCGCAUUCGACGACCUCAAAGUCCUACUUUCCACCCAGCCGGUUCUUACUGCUCCGCUCAGUAAAGAGCCCCUUCUUCUAUAUAUCGCGGCUACAAAUCAAGUCGUCAGUACUGUUCUUACAGUCGAGCGAGAAGAAGAAGGCAAAGCAUACAAAGUUCAGCGGCCAGUGUACUACGUCUCCGAAGUCCUGACCCCCUCCAAGCAGAGGUAUCCCCAUUAUCAGAAGCUUAUCUAUGGGAUCUAUAUGACUGCGAAGAAGGUGGCCCAUUAUUUCCAAGACCACUCGGUAUCUGUCGUUUCUGAUGCUCCUUUGUCGGAAAUUCUCCACAAUCGAGACGCGUCAGGCCGAGUGGCGAAGUGGGCAAUGGAGAUGCUGUAUUGUGACAUCAAGUUCGAGGCCAAGAAAGCUAUUAAGUCUCAAGCCCUGGCUGACUUUAUAGCAGAAUGGGUAGAACAACAGCAACCGACUCACAUCUACUCGGCUCAUUGGACAAUGUUCUUCGAUGGGUCUAAGAUGUUGAAUGGAUCCGGCGCUGGUGUUGUGAUCAUAUCACCCAAAGGCGACAAGCUCAAGUAAGUGCUCCAGAUACACUUUGAUUCCUCCAACAACGAGGCGGAGUAUGAAGCUCUCCUCUACGGAUUGAGCAUGGCCAUCUCACUCGGCGUCCGUCGCUUGAUGGUCUACGGCGAUUCGGAUUUGGUGGUCAAUCAAGUGAUGAAAGAGUGGGACGUAAGGAACCCCACCAUGACAGUGUACUGCAAUGCAGUAAGGAAGCUGGAGAAGAAGUUUGAAGGUCUAGAGCUCCAUCAUGUUCCGAGACUGAAGAACCAAGCAGCUGAUGCGUUGGCGAAACUCGGAUCCACUCGGAGACCAGUCCCGAGUGACGUUUGCCUCGAGCACCUCCAUCUUCCUUCAGUUAAAGAAGAUCCCUUCACUGAAGAACCGAUACAACCCAAGAGCGCAACAGAUCCGACUGAAGUCGAUGUACCUGCGGUGGUUGAUCUGGUCACGGAGAUUCUGGUAGUCAUUCCCGAUUGGACUGUGCCGAUCAUGGCAUAUAUCCUGAGACAAGAACUUCCAGAAGAUGAAGUCCAAGCCCGACAAAUAGUUCGCAGGUCGAAGGCAUUCACUGUCAUUGACGGUCAAUUGUACAAGGAGAGUGUUUCAGGCGUCCUCCAACAUUGCAUUUCCCCAGAGGAAGGACAGUUGAUCCUAGAGGAUAUCCACUCGGGAACCUGCGGCCAUCACGCUUCUUCGAGAGCAAUCGUCGCCAAGGCAUUCAGAGCUGGAUUCUUCUGGCUGCAGGCUAACGAGAUGGCCAAAGCUAUGGUCGACCGAUGUGAAGGCUGUCAGUUCUACUCCAACAAGUCCCACAAGCCAACAUCUGCACUAAAGCCAAUCCCACUUGUGUGGCCAUUUGCAGUUUGGGGAUUAGACACAGUCGGGCCAUUCAAGACAGGCCAAGGAGGCUACACACAUCUGUUGGUGGCAGUCGACAAGUUUACAAAAUGGAUAGAAGCCAAGCCCAUCAAGAAGCUCGACGCCUUCACAGCCGUUAAGUUUGUCAGGGACAUCAUCUCCAGAUUCGGAGUGCCUCACAGCAUAAUCACGGACAAUGGGACAAACUUCGACUCGGAUAGAUUCAAAGGUUUCUGCGCGAGUCAGGGUAUCCGAGUGGAUUUUGCUUCCGUAGCACAUCCGCAAUCCAAUGGACAAGCUGAGCGCGCGAAUGGACUUAUCCUUCAAGGUUUGAAGCCUCGACUCUUGCGAGAGGUAGGACAUGCUGCUGGUGCAUGGGUCACCGAGUUACCUUCAGUACUUUGGGGCCUCCGCACCACUCCAAACCGAUCAACGGGGCGAUCGCCGUUCUUCCUCGUCUAUGGAGCAGAAGCGGUCCUUCCGAGUGACCUGCUUCACAAUGCCCCGCGAGUCGAACUCUUCUCCGAAGCCGAAGCGGAACAAGCAAGGCAAGAUGGAGUCGAUCUUCUGGAGGAGGAACGCGAGAUGGCACUCACUCGUUCAACAAUUUACCAACAAGAUCUGCGACGCUUUCAUGCACGUCAUGUCAGGAGCCGCACGUUCCAAGCAGACGAUUUAGUGCUCCGAGUGGAUCAGCAAAGACCCCACAAGUUGGCUCCGGCCUGGGAGGGGCCUUUCAUCAUUUCCAAGGUGCUGAACAGCGGAGCAUACAGAUUCUACAAUAUUCAGAGGGAGACAGACGAGCCGCGCGCAUGUGUGCACUAUACGUCGCACUCGGGGACUUAGCUGUGAUCAAGAAUCACCUAAGUACGCACUUCCUCCGAGUGUGCACUAUACGUCACACUCGGGGACUUAGCUGCGAUCYUGAAUCGCCUAAGUACUAACCUCCUCCGAGUGUGCACUAUACGUUGCACUCGGGGACUUAGCUGCGAUCCUGAAUCGCCUAAGUGCUAACCUCCUCCGAGUGUGCACUAUACGUCACACUCGGGGACUUAGUUGCGAUCCUGAAUCGCCUAAGUACUAACCUCCUCCGAGUGUGCACUAUACGUCGUAUUCGGAGACUUAGCUGUGAUCACGAAUCACCUAAGUAAUAACUCCCUCCGAGUACGCACUAAGUGUUGCACUCGGAACAACAUUUCAACAAAAGACUAAAUGUUUUCAUUCCGACAACAUAAGUUCAUAAACGAUAGCUGACUCAGUGCGGGUCAAGAUUACCCGCACCGAUUUAAAAGUAUGACGGCCAACAGAAGUGGCCACAAUAUCUUACAGGUAAACACUCGGCAUACCGAGGAUAAAGUUUGAUCACGCGUCAGCUGGGCCGGCGUCAGGACUGGAGGGCUCCACAAAAGUGUCCAAGUCGAUUCCAUCAGCGAUGCGGGUAGCAGUCUCAAGGAACGUCUCCAUGAAGUCUUCGAAUUGAAGCUUCUUCGUGUUGGCGACCUUCAAUGCUUUCAGCUUAUCUUCCCGCACCUCCUUGCAAUGGACUCGGACCAAGGACAGCGCAACGUCAGCACCGCAACGCGCUGCCGAUUUCUUCCAGGAUUGCACUCGGUCCGGAAUCUCCUCCAGUCGCCCCAACAGAGUCUCCAUCUCCUGCCGCGACUCGUCUUCCGGCCAAAGCUCCUUCUCAAUGCGGCCGAUGACUUCUCUCAGUCGGCUAAUGAAAGGACCCACUUUGCCUACGCGGAUAUGCGCCCGGAGCAGAUCCCGGUUGGCGUCCUCGCCGAGUGGCACAUUGUCCUUCAUGGACCGCUCCACAGCCGCCGCUUCAGCUUCGGCGUCACCACAAAAAUCUGCACCAAACGAGCAAACGGACAGUAAAAACCAAGUGUUCGUCACACGGUACAACCACUCGACAAAGCAUAAGACUUACCAGCCAGACGAGUCAUCAUCUGGACAGCCCAGUCGUUGACAUACUUCUCCUGAGCUGUCCAUCGUUUGUUCCGAACAGCCAUUUGAUUGUGCAGUUCAGUCCUCUGUUUCUUCAGUCUCUCCACCUCCGCCACCAACACCCUGUUUGCCUCCAGCGCCUCCUCCAAGGACUUCUCUCGAACUUCCAGCGCGUCCUUCAUGCCGGCCAUGGCGAGCAUUGCAGCUUCCAGUUCACCAGCAUACUGGUUCCUCUCCGCUCUCAAGGCUUCACAAGCAGUUCCCAUUUCACAAGUUUUCUGCACCAAGAAACAAAGGGUAAUCAGCAAGUUUAUCAGUUCACAGGCUAAGUUCUUCAGACCCCUGCCGACGCAAGCAGUCGACAGCGGUCUCGGGGACUACACCCAGUGGGUUCACUAAGAGUGACCCCACUGGCAUGCACCUCAAGCAGGCCCGCCCUAUUGAGAUGCAUGUUUUCAGCUACGCCUCAGGGGCUAAUACUACUCCACCUGCGUGCAACUUACUCUCGGAGACUCUUACCGCAAGAGCGCUCCGACUGCAAUAAGUACUCGCACUCGGAAAUCUUGUCUACGGACACAACCAAACUAAAGACCAAAUGUAUAAAGACAACUGUCGGUGCAAGCACUCGAAAGAAGUCUCGGGGACUACACCCACUGGGUUCACUCGGAGUGAACCCAUUGCAAACAGCAGACAACACCCAGUGGGUUACAGAAGAAAAGUAAGUACUUACUAGACUACUUACUCGGAUGUCAUCGCGCAGCUCCAAGCUCCGCCGGUACAAAGCCGCAACGGAGUCAUAAGCCCUCUUGGCCUCUCCGGCCAUCAGCUCCGCCUGGAUCAUGGCCCCCUUGGCCGCUCCCACCUGCUCCUCUGGGACACACCGAAUGCUGAAUUCAGCAUUCGACGAACCGGGAAUCGUGGGAAGUUCCUGGGGCAUCCCAAGGUUCGCCCCAGUAGGUUCCUCACCCACCGGCACCGGUUCAGUCGGUGGGGGCACUUCGGUCGGUGGAACGUCGGCGGCAGGGGCGGCAGCAGGAGGAGCAGCCUCACGGACAGGCUCCAUGACAGGCUCCACGGACGGGUCGGCUCUCCCCUGGUCGUCCCCGUCCAGACAAGUCGCCCCUGACAAGCCGAAUAACACGGCGCCUCAGAAAAAGAAAAGGAUGACGCGGUCUACAGGAAUAAAAUACCCGACCCUCCCACAACAUACCUGGCUGGGACGAAACGACGUUGUCCGUGUCCAUAGGGUCGUCCCCUUGGCGGGCUGGCGAGGUCGCAGAAGUGGCAACCCUGUCGAGUGAAGUCCAUUCGACUUGUAAAGCAGGAGUUCACUCGGUCAACAGAAAGGGCCGAAAGUUAGAUUCACUUACGUGGAGGUGACGGGGAUGGUCAUCCUCAUCCGCGGCAGAGCCUUCCGAGGUUUGGGCCCACUCGGCUUGGGCGCCCUGGAGGACUGGCCUGCAAGUUCAGCGGCUGCGUCCCUGGCCCUCUUGGUGCCUCGAACACUCGGUACCGCCGGGGCAUCAGGCGGAGCACUCGACGACGCAGGAGGAGCUGAAGGGACGGCAGGCUCAUGCCGGCGCUUGCUCCGAUGCUCUGGCCGCGGAGGUGGCGAGUCUGGCUCUUCGUCCUCUUCUUCUUCCUCGCUGUCUUCCUCCUCCGACUCCCCGCUGUCGGAGACGUAUUCGGCGCUCUCCACGCUCCCCUCCUGGCUGCCGUCUUCCUCCUCCUCCGGAUUCCCGUUCGAGACGGGGGAGGACCAGUUGGUCCACUCCUGCAUGAGGUUCAGUCGGAAACGUUAAGCAUCACACGGAGAUAUAAAUAAACGACUGGAAUCAAGACAGUUCAAUGCACUCGGCUGAUGCUACUCACCUGAUUCGGUGGAGGGUUGUCCGCGCUGUAAGGCGUCACUCGGCGGGCUCCUUUGGGGUUCUCACAGGGACCCGUGAUUUGGAGCACCCACGAGGUCACCUUCUCCUCGAGUAUGCCCUCCACGUUGGUCCGAGUGGAAUCCUCGGGCCCUGCGUAGUGCCACAUAGCGUGGUGGCGGGCCUGCAGAGGCUGGGUUCGCCGACCGAUGAAGACUUCCAGCAGGUCAAUACCGGUGACCCCCCUUCUGACAACAUCCACGAGCGACUCGACUAAAGGCUGGAUGUCGUUCUUCUCGGCUUUCGAGAGGGCGAGUUGCUUGGGUGGAGCAGGACGGUCUAGACUAAACGGAGGCAGCCCAGUCGACGCAUUCGGACAGGCUAUGUCCUGGCAGUAGAACCACGUCGACUGCCAGUUCCUAACCGACUCGCUCAACUGGAGAGCAGGGUAGCUGCUCCGACUCUUCUUCUGAAACCCUAAACCCCCGCAGAGCUGGAGGAGAUGCGUCUUGUCAUCCGACUGACUAAGACGUUUGAUGGUUUGAGAGCGGGCGGAGAAGAUAUGUUUGAAUAAACCCCAAUGGGGGGGGCAACCGAUAAAGCACUCGCACAAAACAAUGAAGGCAGAAAGGUGGGCGAUGGCAUUCGGAGGGAAGUGAUGGAGUUGAGCACCAAAAUGAUUCAUGAUGCCUUUGAAGAAGGGAUGCGGGGGCAGAGAAAAACCUCUGUGAACAUGGCUGAGGAGCAAGACGCGCUCCCCUCCCGUGGCGCCGGCUCGACCUCGUCGUCCGCCGGCAGCCUCCAGGACUUAUGCACGAGCAGGCCGUGCUCUACCAGCUCCAGCAGGUCCCCCUCCGUCACCGUGGAGGGGAGAAAGUCUCCCUGGAUCCACCCCGCCGGCAACGGCCGCUGCCGCCGCUGAGCAGCCGCCGCCUUGUUCUUCUUCUUCCUCGCCUCCAUCUUGCUGGUCUGACCUUUGGUCAUGGCGGCGACGGCGAGCUCUCGAGAAGGAGGGGAAGAGAAGGGUGUAUGAGCGCAGGAGGUGGCGAGGAAGACGGAGCAGGCAAGAGCAAAGGAUUCGACGAGCGUAACCGAAGGGUCUCGUCGCCCAGAGUUAAAUAGAGCACCGACUGGGUCGCUGGCGAGCGGGCCCGAAAUCUUAUCUGCCCAACCAGCCGCGGCGAUAUCAGUGGAGGAGUUGAAGGCGCGAGGAUCGAGGAGUCAGGCGCUACUAGAGCGCGCUGACGUCGUCCCCGCUAAGCGCGCGGAACCCGAAAUUUGAGAUCCCGGAAAAUCCGCCGCUGUCAGUUGACCGGUCGCAUCAAAAGAUGCCGCGAAAGCACUCGGUUCCCGACAGUCUGUUUCGCAAAACACCUCCACUCGGAUCAUUGGUCAGGAGAGAUAAAAUAGAUAGAGGCAAGCAACGCCCAAGCCGAACCUAGUCCAGUCGGAUCUGAACCUCGAGCACUGCUUCGACGUUUCAACCCCAAUCCAUUCGGGGACUAAUGAUGGGGUCAUAGUCCUAGGGUAGGGUCAUAGGCCUGCCCUACAUGUCCUACCCAAGGACUACCCCACACAAGGGACAGGACUUUAAGUAUGCCCCGACUGAAUUAAGGUGCCCCCAUCAUCCAGUCGGUAACAGGCCCAGAAUCAUCCAGUCGGAGACUAACAUUCGGAGAGCACCGGGCCUACCGACUGGAUACACUCGGUACGUCGUAACCUCUCUGGAGGGAAACUGUNNNNNNNNNNNNNNNNNNNNNNNNNNNNNNNNNNNNNNNNNNNNNNNNNNNNNNNNNNNNNNNNNNNNNNNNNNNNNNNNNNNNNNNNNNNNNNNNNNNNUCCUAUGGACUAAUGGUUGCCUUAAGUUACAUUUAUAGGAUUUGUCCAUAGGCACUUCUUGAAGUCCAUCUGUUGGGUUCAAGGAGUUUAUAUGAUGACCAAGAUUGUAUUCAAGGUAUUAUCCAAAGUAUGGUCAUAGAGACACGUGGUUGAUCAAGAUCUAAGAGAAAGAGUAAAUCAAGAUGAUCAACACACAAAGCGUACAAGAUGUACCGAGAGGGAUCAAGUGAUCCCAUGGUAUGGUAAGCAUUGUCCAUUACGUGUUUGUGUACUAACCCAUGGUCUUCGUGAGAGUUCUAUGUGAGGGUUAGGUGUGUUUCCAUGGGCUUGCGUCAAAGGAAAGAUCUCAUACAACCCAUGAAGUAUGACGUCAAGUUGUGAUCGUCAUCAAGAUUGCGAUGUGCAAGUUCAAGUGGAUCAACACGAAGAUAGUAUGCUUGAAGCUUGUCGUCCAUUGUGGUGGCAAUGGGCUUGUGAAGAUAUGCUGAAGAAUGGCUGACCCAUAGUGAGUAUGGGGGAGCAAUCAACUAGUCUUCAUCAAGCCAACGCAAUCAAGAAAGAUGGUCCAUCUUGAGGAAGCCAAGAUCAUCAUCAUCUAGCUCAGGAGGACGAGGUGCAAGGUAUUGGUUUGUCAUUGAUAGGUUUUCUGUUUAGGAUAGAUUGUUGUACUAUCAAGGGGGGCUCUCAAGUGAGUAGCUUGAUCGUAUCGUUCGUUGAGAGCUCAAACCAUUUGCAUCCUUACAUCAUACUUCUUGGUUCUUGUUUGGUGUUUCUCUUUGUGAGUUUUAGAGCUUAUGGUCAUCUUCGUGACAAGCUCGAGUUCAUCGAAAACGGAGUCCAUAUGCAUCUACUAUGAUGUUUUCGAUGUUGGAGUUUUUGCCGGAUUCUUCAUUCAUAGAGGACUCGCAUCUCUAUAUCAUUGGCAUUUUCAUAUCUGCAUGGUCUUAAGAUUUCCUUGUCGUCCUGAAUCCAACAAGCUUGGGUUUGCUCGAUUCGGAGCUCGUAUGCGAAAGUUAUAGCUGUUUCAGUGGCGAGCGGUAGUACCGCUAGAGUUGGCGGUAGUACCGCUGGCCCUAGCGGUAGUACCGCUAGAGCUGGCGGUAGUACCGCUGCCCAGCGGUAGUACCGCCCCUGGCCAGCGGUAGUACCGCUCCAAGUUUUUAGUUUCGUCAUCUUUGCGGUUGUACUGCGUCGGACAUUUUUGCGAAGACUUUCUUGGCGGUGGUUGGCCCGGUAGUAUCUUUGCGCUACCAUGGGCUCAGCGGUAGUACCGCUGCAGCCAACGGUAGUACCGCUGCAGCCAGCGGUAGUACCGCCGGAGGGUCAGCGGUAGUACCGCUGGGCUCGGGCUGUAAGUGGGGGUAACGGUCUGAUUCCUUCCCCCACUAUAUAAAGGGGGUCUUCUUCCCCCUUGGCCUUACUUAUCCGUUGAGCUCUUAUUCUACCUCCAUUGUUGACAUUCUUAGAGCUUGCUAACUCUCAAUCCCUCCAAUGAUUCUUGCUUGUUCUUGAGGGAAAAGAGAGAGGAGAUCUAGAUCCACAACUCCACCAAUCACUUUCUCCUCUAUGUGAGGGGAACCCCUUGGAUCUAGCUCUUGGAGUUCUUUGUGAGCUCCUUGUUCUUCCUCUCAUAUUUCUCCAUAGCUUUUGUUGUUGUGGAGGGAUUUGAGUGUGAGGGACUUGACCACUUCGUGUGCUCUUGCCAUUGCAUUGGUUGCAUCGGUUUGAGUUCUCCACGGUGAUACGUGGAAGUGAAGUUUGAGAAGCUUAUUACCUUUGGUACUUAGUACCCUAGAUAUUGUUCUUCGUGGAUGCUUUGGCGUCCUAGAAGCUUGGUGGUGUCUCCGAGCUCAAUCAUUGUGGUGUGAAGCUCCGGGCAAGCGUCGGGGCCUCCAAUUAGGUUGUGGAGAUAGCCCUGAGCAAUUUGUACGGGUACCGGUAACCGCCCCCAAGGGUUGCCACGUGUACGGGUUCGGUGACCUCCCCCAAGGUUUGCCAUUUGUACGGGUUCGGUGACCGCCCUCAAGGGUCCCUUAGUGGAAUCACGGCAUCUUGCGUGUGCGAGGGCGUGAGGAGAUUACGGUGACCUUAGUGGCAUCUUGGGGAGCAUUGUGCCUCCACACCGCUCUAACGGAGAUUAGCAUCCGCAAGGGUGUGAACUUCGGAAUACAUCAUCGUCUCCCCGUGCCUCGGUUAUCUCUUACCCGAACCCUUUACUUAUGCACUUUACUUUGUGAUAGACAUAUUGUUUAUUGUAAUAUAUCUUGCUAUCACUUAGUUGUUUAUCUUGCUUAGCAUAAGUUGUUGGUGCACAUAGGUGAGUCUAGUUGUUUGUAGGUUUUGUGCUUGACAUAUUAAACGUUAGUUUUAUUCCGCAUUUGUUCAAGCCUAAACCUUAAUUAUUUUAAAGCGCCUAUUCACCCCCCCCCCUCUAGGCGACAUCCACGUCCUUUCAGGCCUGCUCUUAGCACGACGUUGAUGAGCGCCCUAAUGGUGGACACGAGAACGAGCUCACCUUGUAUAACGCCAGCCCAAGCCUGCAUUCGGCGCUGUGAGCGGCUAACUGAGGAGCGAAUUAUGCCACCAUGGCGUACUUAUGGCGUCCUGGAGCAGCCAGGACCCAGGAGAUGGCCCGGCGGGCGCACGAACUCCAGGCCAUGGAGUCACGACGCUUCGGUGACAAGGACCGCGCGGUGGUUUGUGAGCAGCAUCGCACCGGUGGUAAAGGCUUCGCUGUGUGACAACGCGAGCUAGAGGGAGAUGGCAUCGAGGACAAGAGCCGGCAAGCGAUAGCGUUACAGCCGCUAGCCAAACAAAUUGCGAUUUUAUUCGACUACGCUUACACUGACGACGUAACUUCAUUACGUUUACAUUUCCGUUGCUUCAUCCGAACCAAACACCUCCUAUGUUUGGUAAAAGUCUUUAUGACCGUUCGCUCCAAAAACAUAUGCAUCAUCUUGAACAAAUGUUGAUAUUCCAUUCGGUGUAGGUAGACCAUGUAUGCACCAUACAGUAAUCCUACACCUAAGAAGGGUUACGAAGGGAGUUACAUAACUUUCCUUCACUAAUUCCCCACCCACCCCCCUUCGAUUUUCAGGUGGGGGUGGGCCCCUCCUUCUCUUAAUCUCAAUCCCAAUCUACCCUAUUUAGCGCCACACGCGUCGGUUAUCGGCAAAUUUUGCUAACCGGCGCCGGUAGCGCUCCGCAAAUAGCCGACCCAUCUAUAGAUCCUGUUUGUGUUUUAAUCCGUGAACUUUUUUUCAAAUUGAUGAACUCUUUUGAAAUCGUUGAACUUUUUUGAAAACCGAUGAACUUUUAAAAAAACAGGUGAACUUUUCUGAAAAUCGGUGAACAUGAUUUAAAAUUCAUGAACUUUUUCAAAAUCAAUGAACUAUUUUUAAAAAUUGAUGAAGUUUUUUUGAAAAUCGAUGAUUUGUUUCGAAUUCUAUGAACUUUUUGAAAAUCCAUGAACUUAUUUCAAACACCAGUGAACUUUCUUUCAUAAUCAUUGAACUUUUUCACAAAUCUAAACUUUUGAAAAUUCUAUGAAGUUUUUUUUUUGAUUUUUUAAUGACCAACGCAUUCUACAUGGGCCGGCUCAUGAGGAGGAGUGCUGAAGGCGGUACAUAGGAGGUCCAACAUAAUGAGAGGAGUUUUGCCAUUUAAGGGCUUUUUUCUUUGCUAAACUGGGUCUUUUGGUCCAAAAUUUCUACCACGUGUUGGAGUUUGUUCUAGGGCUGGUUUCCCGGGCAGAUCAUGUUUGAGGCUUCAGACGUCCGUUAUAGGCAAGUUUGCAAACGGGGGUCUGAAGCACACCCCUCUUCUGGCAGCUGGGUUGGCCCGUCUUAACGUACCAAAAAUAGGUGCGAUAGCGACGUCCAAACUAGCGACCUCUUACAAACCAAUCCGUGGUUGGAUGGUUAGGAGGACUGUGGUAUUCCCUGUCUAUUAGAGUUUAAGUUUCAGAGUUGACAUUGAUUCUUGCAUUUUCUUCGAUUUAUUUCAGGUCUUCCGGCGAUGUGCUUUUAGUGUGAGGAGACGUUCCCGUAGACAACGAAGGCGUCAGUGACGACUUCGUCAAUCUCAAGAUGAUGUGCCGGUUUAGUCUCUCGAAGGUGCACAUAGGGGUAGGGUGUGCGUGCGUGCGUUUAUAGGGGUGAGUGUACGCUC
Molecule: long non-coding RNA, 49268 nt
Filed under: Hordeum vulgare
Lineage: Eukaryota; Viridiplantae; Streptophyta; Magnoliopsida; Poales; Poaceae
Description: long non-coding RNA (HVUL_LNC007612)
Source: RNAcentral